CACAGGUGUGUCUAAACAAUUUUAAGAACUAUGAAAGGGAUGUCAUAAUCAUAGUCUUGAUUGUUUAGACCUUUGACACUUCUCACAAGUCCAUGUUAGUGUGCCGGUAAACCACACACGCUCCACUAACGACUUUGAGAAUGAAAAUAUCACAAUUGCUAUCUAGCUAAAAUCUACUUAGUGAAAGUGUUUCCUCACCAUCAUUUUCAUGAAUCGGAGAGAAACCUUAUGAAACUUAGAUUUAAUGGUGUGUGUGUCCUUAUCCAUGUGAAUUGUCAAAACCAUAGUCACAAGACAAGGAUAAUGACAAAUCCAAACACAUAUGGACUGAACUCAAUCUUAAUUUAUUGCCACCUGGCAGCUCAAGGGCCUGCCAUUGCUUCCAAGUUGUUAUGCAACCAAUUGAGAACUCUAAGAACUCAUAUGCAAAGCCAACUUUAAUUGGAAUGGGCACUGAAUAUGUCAACACGAUAGCUUAUAAACCUCAAGUCGUGUUCUAGUGAAGAACUUCAGGUUUUAUUCUUGAUUAGAUCUUGAAAUUCUUUUCAGGAUCUUUAAGACUCUCACUGUCCUCUUGACAUAUAAGACUAUCUUGUCAAAUAUUCAGUUGAUAGUACGUUCUUUAUCAAGACACAUACUUCACACAAUUGGCCUUAGUUGAUCUUUGUUUUAUCCAAAACAUCACAACUUACCUAUUUCAAAUGUACAAGAGUAGAAAACUUUUACUCUUACAUUUGAUGUGCCAACCCAAAUUAAAUUCCGUUACAUAAUCCCGUUUUAACUAACGGAAUUCGUCGCUUUAUAAAAGUUCCGUAAUAUUUGGAGUCGCCAAUAAAUAAAUAUUUAUUUAUUUAUUUAUUUAUUUAUAUUUCAUGUCAUUAUUAUUUAGUAUAAGUAAAUAUAACUUGUUAAUGUGAAUCUCGUUAAACAAAAUAAAGUUAUAUUACCUUUCAACCACUUCACCCGGGUAAAAAGUUUAAACCCCGUUAAACUUUAGCAUCGGGUAGUCGUGUCCCGGGUGCAAUACUCGAGGCAUAUAUAAAGGAGGUGAAUACCACCUUGCAUCCUUUUUACCACCCCCACACUCUCUCUCACUACUUUCUCUCUCUAGACCCGAUUUCGACUCCAAAACCGCGAUUUUCGGCUUCCAAAUGUAAGAUUUUCCUUCCUAACUUGUUCUAAACAUACAUAAUUGUAUUUAUAACUCAAAAAUCAUAUGAUUGGGGGUAAACAAGGAGUUUAUGGCCUAAGAAGCUCCUUAGGCCGUAAACACCCCAAAACAUGGCCAAGGUCCCAUUUUUCCUUCCUUUAGGCUUGUGUACUAAUUAAGGAAAUUACCUAAGAGGGUUUGGACAUCAAAACACAAGUUUUUAGGGCACAAAAGAGGGUUUACGGCCCAAGCAUAUGCUUAGGCCGUAAACACCCAUUUUCCAUGAGAAAUGGCCCCAAAAACUCAUCCAAGGCAUGUUAGAAUUAAGAUAUGAUUUUAGGAAAUGCUUAGGGCCAUUAAACAACACAUUUUGAGGGAUAAUAUAGAGUUUACGGCCCAAGCAUAAUCUAGGAUCGUAAACUCCCCCAAACAACACCAAAUGAAGGUUUAAACCCCCAAAUUGUUCCUAAACACUCACUAGAAAUUAUAUGGGAUUGAUUUAAGGGCCUUAGCUUUUUUGGGAGUGAACAAGAGUUCACGGCCAAGCCUAGGGGCUUACGGCCGUAAACUCCCAAGGAGUGGACUCUGGGCUGUAAACUCCAAGGGAGUAAACUCUUGGACUCCCCCGUAACUCCUAUUUGGCCUUGUACAAUUCCCGAGAACCACUUCUAAGCCCUAAGGCCCUGAAUCAAUGCUAGAAUAUCUAAAUGUUUUAAUAAAAAGCAUCAAAUGACUAAUUUCUUGUAAAACACAUAUUCCAUAUGUUAAUAGGGUCUUAAAAGGGUGUACAAGUCCUUAUUUGGUACCAAACACUCAACCGACACUUUCACUCGAUUUACCCGCUUUACUCGGUUUCUGGUGAGUUCAUACCCCUUAAUGAACUUUUCUAAUGUUUUCAUAUGUUUUAGGGGGGGGGGACACAAGUCAAUUAUACAUUUUUAUGAAAACCAAUCGCAUGUGAUUUACUACCCGUAGUUCAAAUCACAUGUGAUUUAUCACUAUGCUUUAUAAAAGAACUUUACGCUUUCAAAACUACUUUGGAAAAAUAAACUAUUUUCUAAAUCUUUUCUUUAGUCAAGAUUUUUAAUAAAUUACUUUUCUUAUAAAAUGUAUCUACACUAAUAUAUUUAUAUAAGUAAGACUUGAAGGGCUUAGGACCGAUAGCUCGCCUUAUUUCCUGUUCUUGUUUGAUGUGGGCUUAGGGUUUUUGUUAUCCGUCCGACUGUCAUUGAUUUCUUAGUUAUAUAUCAUGUAUAUCAGUGUUAGAUACGAGCAUUUUUAUCUCAUUCGUUACCUAUAUUACUUAACUGCCAAGAACCAUACACACUAAGUUAACUAUAAUAGGUAUAGUUAAGGUCGCUACUACUUGUCACCGCUACUACUGUACAUAUUAUAGUUCAUACUAUUACAAAACAAUACACUAAUAAGAGAACACACUAUGAACGAUAUAAAAGACUACUACACUAUAUUACAAGAGAAAACACUAAUCUGGAAGAUAACACACUAACUCUCUACAAGAUACUCUACGCGCUACAUAUUGUGACCAGAGCUUUCCGGAAGGAAGGCGACGCUACAUGUAUAGAUCUAUACAGAGCUGACACUAUUAGAUCCCGACUGUUAACUUCAGUCCGAGCCGAGCAAGCCCAGGGAUGGCACUACUUCUCUACACUGUGCAUGACCGGGAAGGUCAUGGGAUUCCUCUAUUACUCACACUAUUGGUCACAUGAAAAGGAAUACACUGCAUCCACACUAAAAUACUAAGACUAAAGUCUCAGUUAAUAUCCCGAAGUAAAAUAAGUAUCUAUUACUAGUGGAAGUUCGCACCACUAUCACUGUCAACAGGCAUAACUUUUCUUUUACCUACACUAUAUACUGGAGAUUUAGUACCUCACUUUUACAACAAACUGUUUUCAAUGAUAAAACUUACAUUCAACUUAGAGUUUUCACUUACGAUGUAUUUUCUGGAAAAUAUAGGAUUUUCUAGAGUUUUCUACUACUUAUAAAUGUAAAUUGCAGUUUUUCACACUAUAUGUUCUAAUACAUUUUAUACAAAAUUCACACUAAAUUCUUAUGAACUCACCAGCUUUAUGCUGAUACUCGUUUUCAAAAUAACUUGUAUCCUCAGGUCAAAGAUAGACAGGUACAGGUGCAGCAUUUUGGAGAAGAUGGAGCAUACAAGAUCCAUCUCUUAUUUUUGUAUUACUUUUGGUGUCUAUUGAAACUUUACAGAACACACUUGUAAUUAAACUCACUAUGUAAUGAAAUGGUUGNUACUAUUAUGCAAUUGUGAUGAUACUGUUCACUACGUCAUCCACCCUGAAACGUAUUCCGCCGUUAUCGGUUUUGGGGUGUGACAGAUUGGUAUCAGAGCAUUGUUUAUAGUGAAUCAAGUAUAUCAACCUAUAAAAGAUAUACGAACUAUAAACACUUCGGGACUAAAACACUCUGACCAAGAAUAUAUACUGUUAAGUAUUUAAAAGAUUUAACUAAGUAUAUAUACGCACACCUCUAUAAAACACAGAAGUCAGUAUCGCACUAGAACAGAACAAAAGUAUUAAGAUUGUUGGACAACACAAUUGGGCUUAGAGACAUAUAGUCACAGCUGGGGGAAUGUAGCCUAAUCAACUACAUUUUUCUGGGAGUGACUAGCAUGUGCCUAAGUUUGGUUAUGGCGUUGCAACAAGUGUAAAACUUACCAAUACUACCACAAUAACGUUAGAACAAGAAUACUAUAGGAGUAUUAUAUAUACCACUAACUACAUAUGUGAUAACUAAAAGGAUCGUUACUGGUAGGACAAUAGUUGCUAAGUGGAUACACCACGGUUACAUGCGACUAGGGCGCUAUAGACUCAGAAUCUGUGGCCUUUGCUUCAUUCCCUGUUCUUGUUUGAUUGGGGGUCUGAAGUUAGGAUUGCUUAUUCAAAGGACUAUCUUGCUUCGGUUACAUGUAAUCGGUAUGCACUACGCAAGUAUUGGGUCGACUAAUAACGAUUCAUCUUAUAAGUAUCUUAGAGUAGUACGUCUAUUAAUCUUCCUUUCCCCUUUUCUCGCAUAGAUAUCAUGGCUGGCUUCCCCCUUCCCGACGAUCCGUACUACCCAAACCAGGGCAAUGGAGGAUGGCUCGACGAAGAGUCGGACGAUGAUCACCAGAUCCCUCUGGAUGACCACCGAGCAGAAGGCUUUUCGGAUAGCUCCGACUCUGAGCUAGAAGUUAACAACCUACCUUCUGAAGCUCCGAACCCCAACGACAUUUCAGGGUCACACUCCCCUGUGGGCAAUAUCCUUGAAUCGAUGGAGUGAGGAGUAGGUCCAGCCUUUACUUUACAAUGGAGACUGAAGCUUCUACAACAUAAGCGAAGGAGGAUCAGCGGACCGAGUUCUGCCCAUCAUGGUCCGAAGGAUUGCCAGGAAUGUCGAGCAGGGUCAAGUAGCCAUUGGUCGAGUUCUAGAAGUGGAUGCCAACUCGAAUCUCAACACUGUUCGCAUCCGCCAACUUGAAGAAGCCAUGGACAGGACAAGGAGGACCAACGAGGCUCUGCAGCAUCAGCUAACUGCAUCCCGAGCCAAAGUUAGGGAUCUCCAAGAAUGCCAAAGGACUCAUGAACGACACCUUCAAGAAGUUAUGUGUCAGCUAGAGGAUCUGAGGAUUCGCCCAACAAGUAACCGUCGCCAGUAGAAGACGUCUAGUUACCUCACUCUUUUGUUUAAAGGACUAGCCUUCCAUGUCUAUGUUUCGUAUAUCACUUGUCUGUAAACAUUCCUAGCUUAAAAGUACUCUAAGUAGGCCUCUAGACUGCCAACAUUUUCCUUAUGGUUUGAUGUAAGACCUAUUGUUAGGUCACUUUUUACGAACUUGUAUUACAUCAUUAAUACCAGUAAAUUGGCAGUUAACUACUCUAUUACUAUGACUCUCAUUCUGAUCCUUGGAUUAUGUUGAUUUAAUUCAUGAAACACUCUAUUCAUAUUCACAAUAGACUCUUACUAUUGCUAUCAUUUCUAUGUUCUUCCAGUGAAAGAUGCAUCCACGAAAGCGUCCGAACAGAGGAAGACCAGCAACUCAAACCCCUCCUCCACCACCUCCUCCUCCGCAGUUCGAUCCAGUGUUGUUCCAAACGGUUGUGACUGCGGCUGUAACAGCAGCCAUGGCUCAAACGAACUCUGGUGAUGUGAGCGGUGGCAACUCUAUAUUUGGUGAAGUCCAUCAAAGAGUGCAGGGAUGCACUUAUAAGGACUUCAUGAACUGCAAACCUACCUUCUUCGAUGGUACCGGAGGAAUUCUGGCAUUGUCUCAAUGGUUCGAAAGAACCGAAGCUGUCUUUGAAAUGUGCUCUUGCCCCAAAGAGAGCAAAAUCAAGUUCGCUACUGCCACCCUCACUAACAGAGCCUUGACAUGGUGGAACGACCAUGUCAGUGCACUCUCCUUGGUAACAGCCAAUGCCAUGGGCUGGGAUACUCUGAAAGACCUCAUGAGAGGGUGUGCUGCCCUAGGGGCGAAGUUCAGAAACUUGAGGAGGAACUCUGGAACCUCAAGAUGAAAGGGACUGACAUAACAGCUUACACGGCCAGGUUCUGCGACUUGGCGGCUAUGUGUCCCAACAUGAUCCCAUCUGAAAGCAAAAAGAUCGAACGAUACAUCUGGGGUCUAAUGCCCCCGUAUCGAGGAAAUGUUCUAGCCUCACGCCCUACCACCUUCGACAGCGCCAAGGAAUUGGCCCAGAGUCUGAUCAACCAUGAAGUCUCUUCCACUCCAGCAACAGCAACCCCAGCUACCACUGCACCACCCGAUUCAUCUGACAGAAAGAGGAAGUGUAUGGAUAAGAAGAAAGGCAUGAAAACUCAAACCUCCUCCAAGGACCAGCAAAUUGUGGCGGUCCAUGCUGCCACCACUCCAGCCGCACCUGCACCGACAAAAGCUUAUGUUGGGAACCUGCCCAAGUGUCCUAAGUGCCCUUUCCACCACAACGGCCCCUGCCGUGAAUUGCAGUGUUCCAACUACGGCCGGAAGGGCCAUACUGUCCGAUUUUGUAGGGCCCCUCCCAAACCUAUCUCGCAAGUUUCAGGUUCGGGAGUGACCCAGACUUGUUACGGCUGCGGUGAAGCUGGCCAUUUCAAGAAAAACUAUCCAAAGGCUGGGAAUGCUGGGGGAACUGGAAGAUUACUCGCUAUUGGUCACACUGAAGCAGUGGCGGAUCCCACAGUAGUCACGGGUACGUUUCUUCUUAACAACUCUUACACAUGUGUCUUAUUCGAUAGUGGUGCAGAAAGAAGGUUCAUAAACCAAAACUUUAAACACCUACUUAAACAAUCCCCACAACCACUAAAAGAAACAUUCGUCGUAGAAAUGGCUAACGGGAAGACCGAAAGCUCUAACGAAAUAUACAUAGGUUGUACCCUCACGUUAGACGAUCACUCAUUUCCAAUUGAUCUUAUACCAGUCUCAAUCAAGAAUUUUGAUGUCAUUGUUGGUAUGGACUAGUUGAGUAUUCAUCGCGCCGAAAUCCUAUGCUUCGACAAAGCCAUACGCCUGAAUCUUCCAAGUCACUAAACCCUAUUGAUCUAUGGAGAUAAACCCAGUAUGGGCCUUCGUAUCAUCUCCAGUAUUCAGGCCCAUAAAUAUUUGCAUAAGGAAUAUCGCGCCUUUCUGGCUCACGUCGUCGACACAAGUCAGAAAGUGAAAGAUUCAAAAGACAUCCCCGUUAUAUGCAAUUUCCCUUACGUCUUCCCAGAGGAUCUUCCAGGUCUACCUCCCAAACGUCAGGUUGAGUUCAGAAUCGACCUAGUCCCAGGAGCUACCCCCAUAGCUAAGUCGCCCUAUCGUCUAGCGCCUACCGAGAUGCAAGAACUAUCCGGUCAACGAGCUGCUCAACAAGGGUUUUAUAAGACCAAGCUUCUCACCUUGGGGAGCUCCGGUCUUGUUCGUGAAGAAGAAGGACGGAUCGUUUCGUAUAUGCAUCGAUUAUAGGGAACUCAACAAACUCACGGUCAAAAAUCGCUAUCCUCUCCCUCGUAUCGACGACCUAUUCGACCAACUACAAGGANACUGCUCCAAUUGAUCUUAGGUCCGGGUAUCACCAGUUACGGGUAUUAGAGGAAGAUGUUCCGAAGACAUCUUUCCGAACCCGUUACGGGCACUUCGAGUUCGUAGUGAUGCCCUUUGGACUGACUAACGCCCCCGCAGUAUUCAUAGACUUGAUGAAUAGGGUGUGUCGUCCAUAUCUAGAUCAGUUCGUCAUCGUCUUUAUUGAUGACAUACUCGUCUACUCUCGAAGCGAGGAAGAACACAAGGAUCAUUUACGACGAGUCCUAGAAACCCUACUGUCAGAGAAGUUAUAUGCGAAGUUCUCUAAGUGCGAAUUUUGGAUCCUAAGAGUUGAAUUCUUAGGACACGUGGUUAGUGAAGAAGGAAUCCACGUGGACCCCUCCAAAAUUAAAGCUAUUGAGAACUGGUCAGCACCGAAGACGCCUACAGAAAUUCGUCAAUUUCUAGGCCUUGCUGGCUACUACCGCAGAUUCAUCCAAAACUUCUCUCGGAUUGCGAAGCCUCUCACCAUGUUGACACAGAAGGGCAUAUCAUUCGACUAGGAAGAGAAACAGGAGAAGACAUUCCAGACCCUGAAGCGAGCCUUAUGCACUGCACCAAUAUUAUCCCUUCCCGAAGGAACAGAAGAUUUUGUUGUGUACUGUGAUGCAUCCAAUCAGGGGCUCGGUUGUGUCUUGAUGCAACGAGGUAAAGUCAUCGCCUAUGCCUCAAGACAGCUAAAGACACAUGAGGUGAACUACACUACUCACGACCUCGAGUUAGGAGCGGUCGUAUUCGCACUAAAAGUCUGGAGACACUACUUGUAUGGAACGAAGAGCGUAGUGUACACUGAUCAUAAAAGCCUCCAACACAUGCUGGACCAGAAAGAGCUCAAUAUGAGACAACGCCGAUGGGUCGAACUACUCAACGAUUAUGAUUGCGAAAUUCGAUAUCACCCGGGGAAAGACAACGUGGUAGCUGACGCCCUGAGUAGGAAGGAGUAUUCUGGUUGAAGAACCAAGUCGUUGACAAUGACUAUCCAUUCGCAUCUAUCCGCACAGAUCAAGGAGGCUCAGCUGGAAGCCUUGAAGCCUGAGAAUGUGACGGGAGAAUCCCUACGUGGAAUGGGUAAAAGUUUGGAGGUCAAGGGUGAUGGAGCCUACUACCUCAUGGACCGAAUCUGGACUCCGCGCCACGGAGGUUUCAGAGAGGUGGUCAUGAAGUAAGCACACAACACUCGAUACUCCGUCCACCCAGGUUCGGAUAAGAUGUAUCUGGAUCUCAAGAAGCUAUACUGGUGGCCUAACUUGAAAGUGGAGAUCGCUACCUUCGUGAGUAAGUGCCUUACUUGUGCAAACGUCAAGGUCGAAUAUCAUAAGCCAUCGGGACUCCUCCAACAUCCGGAGAUACAGGAAUGGAAGUGGGAGCGGAUUACAAUGGACUUUAUAACCAAGCUGCCCAAGACAACGGGUGGGUUGGAUACCAUUUGGGUCAUCGUCGACAGAUUGACUAAGUCUGCACACUUCCUACCCAUUAAGGAAACGGACAAGAUGGAGAAGCUCACAAGAACAUACCUUAAGGAAAUAGUACGGCUGCAUGGCGUCCCUAUAUCUAUUAUCUCAGACAGAGAUAGUAGAUUUACCUCGAGAUUUUGGCAAUCACUACAAAAGGCACUAGGGACGAGGCUGGACAUGAGUACAACCUACCAUCCGCAGACUGAUGGACAAAGUGAGAGGACGAUCCAAACUUUAGAAGAUAUGUUGCAAGACUGUGUGAUCGACUUUGGUAAAUCGUGAGAUACACACCUACCUCUUGUGGAUUUUUCCUACAACAAUAGUUAUCAUACGAGCAUCAAAGCAGCUCCAUUUGAAGCCCUCUACGGCAGGAAGUGCAGAUCCCCUUUGUGCUGGGCUGAGGUGGGUGACACUCAGUUAGCUAAAGGACGAGUUCCUGAUAGCGCUCUCACUGGUCCGGAGAUCAUUCGAGAAACGACCGAGAAGAUUGUUCAAAUUUACGAACGAUUAAAAGCCGUUAGGGAUCGACAGAAAAGCUACGCAGACAAGCGAAGAAAACCCUUGGAAUUCUAGGUGGGAGACCGAGUCCUUUUGAAGGUCUCGCCCUGGAAGUGCACGAUACGCUUCGGAAAGCGUGGAAAGCUGAACCCAAGGUACAUAGGGCCUUUGGAGAUUCUCGCCAGAAUCGGCCCCGUAGCUUACAAACUCAACUUACCCCACGAGCUAAGUAACAUACAUCCUACAUUCCAUGUCUCAAACUUGAAGAAAUGUCUGUCCAACGAGACUCUCAUAAUUCCCCUCGACGAGAUCGAGGUCAAUGACAGCCUCAACUUCGUGGAAGAGCCUGCGGAGAUUAUGGAUCGGGAAGUAAAACGAACGAAACAAAGCCGCAUCCCAAUUAUGAAGGUUCGGUGGAACGCCAAGCAGGGACCGGAAUUCACUUGGGAGCGCGAGGAUCAGAUGAAACUCAAAUAUCCCCAUCUUUUUGCAUAGUAGUUCAGUAAUGACUCUCUGUAUGAAUUCAAAAUUUUGGGACGAAAUUCCCCUAACGGAGGGAUGAUGUGACAACCCAAAUUAAAUUCCAUUACAUAAUCCUGUUUUAAGUAAUGAAAUUCGUCGCUUUAUAAAAGUUCCGUAAUAUUUGGAGUCGCCAAUAAAUAAAUAUUUAUUUAUUUAUAUUUCAUGUCAUUAUUAUUCAGUAUAAGUAAAUAUAACUUGUUAAUGUUAAUCUCAUUAAACGAAAUAAAGUUAUAUUACCUUUCAACCACUUCACCCGGGUAAAAAGUUUAAACCCCGUUAAACUUUAGCAUCGGGUAGUCGUGUACCGGGUGUAAUACCCGAGGCAUAUAUAAAGGAGAUGAAUACCACCUUGCAUCCUUUUUACCACCCACACACUCUAUCUCACUACUUUCUCUCUCUAGACCCGAUUUCGACUCCAAAACCGCGAUUUCCGGCUUCCAAACGUAAGAUUUUCCUUCCUAACUUGUUCUAAACAUACAUAAUUGUAUUUAUAACUCAAAAAUCAUAUGAUUGGGGGGUAAACAAGGAGUUUACGACCUAAGAAGCUCCUUAGGCCGUAAACACCCCAAAACAUGGCCAAGGUCCCAUUUUUCCUUCCUUUAGGCUUGUGUACUAAUUAAGGAAAUUAUCUAAGAUGGUUUGGACAUCAAAACACAAGUUUUUAGGGCACAAAAGAGGGUUUACGGCCCAAGCAUAUGCUUAGGCCGUAAACACCCAUUUUCCAUGAGAAAUGGCCCCAAAAACUCAUCCAAGGCAUGUUAGAAUUAAGAUAUGAUUUUAGGAAAUGCUUAGGGCCAUUAAACAACACAUUUUGAGGGAUAAUAUAGAGUUUAUGGCCCAAGCAUAAGCUAGGACCGUAAACUCCCCCAAACUACACCAAAUGAAGGUUUAAACCCCCAAAUUGGUCCUAGACACUCACUAGAAAUUAUAUGGGAUUGAUUUAAGGACCUUAGCAUCCAUUUUUGGGAGUGAACAAGAGUUCACGGCCAAGCCUAGGGGCUUACGGCCGUAAACUCCAAGGAAGUAAACUCUUGGACUCCCCCGUAACUCCUUUUUGGCCUUGUACAAUUCCCGAGAACCACUUCUAAGCCCUAAGACCCCGAAUCAAUGCUAGAAUAUCUAAAUGUUUUAAUAAAAAGAAUCAAAUGACUAAUUUCUUGUAAAACACAUAUUCCAUAUGUUAAUAGGGUCUUAAAAGGGUGUACAAGUCCUUAUUUGGUACCAAACACUCAACCGACACUUUCACUCGAUUUACCCGAUUUACUCGGUUUCUGGUGAGUUCAUACCCCUUAAUGAACUUUUCUAAUGUUUUCAUAUGUUUUAGGGGGGGGGGACACAAGUCAAUUAUACAUUUUUAUGAAAACCAAUCACAUGUGAUUUACUACCCGUAGUUCAAAUCACAUGUGAUUUAUCACUAUGCUUUAUAAAAGAACUUUACGCUUUCAAAACUACUUUGGAAAAAUAAACUAUUUUCUAAAUGUUUUCUUUAGUCAAGAUUUUUAAUGAAUUAAUUUUCUUAUAAAAUAUAUCUAUACUAAUAUAUUUAUAUAAGUAAGACUUGAAGGGCUUAGGACCGAUAGCUCGCCUUAUUUCCUGUUCUUGUUUGAUGUGGGCUUAGGGUUUUUGUUAUCCGUCCGAAUGUCAUUGAUUUCUUAGUUAUAUAUCAUGUAUAUCAGUGUUAGAUACGAGCAUUUUUAUCUCAUUCGUUACCUAUAUUACUUAACUGCCAAGAACCAUACACACUAAGUUAACUAUAAUAGGUAUAGUUAAGGUCGCUACUACUUGUCACCGCUACUACUAUACAUACUAUAGUUCAUAUUAUUACAAAACGAUACACUAAUAAGAGAACACACUAUGAACUAUAUAAAAGACUACUACACUAUAUUACAAGAGAAAACACUAAUCUGGAAGAUAACACACUAACUGUCUACAAGAUACUCUACGCGCUACAUAUUAUGACCAGAGCUUUCCGGAAGGAAGGCGACGCUACAUGUAUAGAUCUAUACGGAGCAGACACUAUUAGAUCCCGACUGUUAACUUCAGUCCGAGCCGAGCAAGCCCAGGGAUGGCACUACUUCUCUACAUUGUGCAUGACCGGGAAGGUAAUGGGAUUCCUCUAUUACUCACACUAUUGGUCACAUGAAAAGGAAUACACUGCAUCCACACUAAAAUACUAAGACUAAAGUCUCAGUUAAUAUCCCGAAGUAAAAUAAGUAUCUAUUACUAGUGGAAGUUCACACCACUAUCAUUGUCAACAGGCAUAACUUUUCUUUUACCUACACUAUAUACUGGAUAUUUAGUACCUCACUUUUACAACAAACUGUUUUCAAUGAUAAAACUUACAUUCAACUUAGAGUUUUCACUUACGAUGUAUUUUCUGGAAAAUAUAGGAUUUUCUAGAGUUUUCUACUACUUAUAAAUGUAAAUUGCAGUUUUUCACACUAUAUGUUCUAAUACAUUUUAUACAAAAUUCACACUAAAUUCUUAUGAACUCACCAGCUUUAUGCUGAUACUCGUUUUCAAAAUAACUUGUAUCCUCAGGUCAAAGAUAGACAGGUACAGGUGCAGCAUUUUGGAGAAGAUGGAGCAUACAAGAUCCAUCUCUUAUUUUUGUAUUACUUUUGGUGUCUAUUGAAACUUUACAGAACACACUUGUAAUUAAACUCACUAUGUAAUGAAAUGGUUGUAUGUUUCUUGUUUUUACUAUUAUGCAAUUGUGAUGAUACUGUACAUGACGUCCUCCACCCCGAAACGUAUUCCGCUGUUAUCGGUUUUGGGGUGUGACAUUUGACAAAUGUUUUAAACCUUCUCUUAGACAUGUCACUCAAGUUACUUUCUUAGAGUAUAACUCUAAGAAUUGUUUUUGGAACGAAGUAUGAAUCAUCUUCUUGAUUUAACCACUUUAACAUUUCACAGGUCCUCUUCUUAGCUAUCGGAAUUCACUUAGAGGAUGAAUUGUGAUAAGGUCUCUUAAUCAUUAAGAUGAUCAUAUACCAUGAUACUAAAGUACUCUCCCAUCUUUUCAGAUUUGAGAAACCUUUUAUCCUUCUGCCUAAUUUGAUUCUUCUUAUUCGCUUUACCAUACAUUGAAACCUUUUCCAAUGUCUCAGAAUUACACUUAAGCUUGUAAGUAAAACCAUAUUUACUGAGCUUUAGUAAAUUAUGACGAAUAAUGUUAUCGAUAUUUUGUGGUGGACUUGACCAAUGCACAAGAAUGUGUAGUUCAUCCCUUUGUCCUUCACUUGACUCACAUAUACAUGUUAACAAGGAAUUAGUCUUAAUUUUUCCAAAGAUGAAAAAUUCUCAUUCAUCAUGCUAUACAACUUGCAUGAUUCCAAGUUUCGGUCUUAUUGAAACCUUGGGUGACGAGAAUCUUUCGUUAUUUGGUAAAUUUAGACACUACCACAAAUUAAAGAAUCAAAAUCAUAUUUCCACUCUUGCUCUUAAUGGAAUCUUUAUAAGCAACAAAAAUUUUCACAAAUGCCAUUGUAAGGAUAUUUUAAAAUAAAUAAAAUCAAUUUUUUUUUCUUUUAUUUUAAAACUUAGCGGAAAAACUUAUCCUUACAAUCCAUAUGAAAACUUGUUGUUAUUUAUUCCUAAUCAAUACUCAUAACUCCUAAGAAGUAGCUCAAGAAUCCGAUCUUCAAACUAUGCGAUAGAAAUCCAUCUACGCGAUCAAAUUCAACAUAUUCUUUCUUUAAGUUUCUUCACUUUUCUUUGAUUCUUAAAACAUCAACAUGUGACCCAGUCACAUCAUGUAUCAAGAAUCUUAUAAUAGAAACUUAAUAGAGUUAGAUAGUGGACUUUACCUGAAGUAGAGUCAAACUUAUUGAUUUUAACAUCCUUAGGUAAAAUGGCAGCUUCGCAACCAAUGUCCCUUCCUUUGGCAAUUUAACAUAUGGACACUUUGGUAAUGAAAGAUGGUACUAUCACAGACAUAGCCAUUCUCUUUACCAUUUGGUCAACCGAGUUGACUAUGACCGAUCCCUUUCCAUUGGUUAGAGAGAGCUUUACUGGAUAUCCAAUGUUACAUUGUCAAUGUCCAUAAGUUUUAGGAAGUUGAUCUUAGCAAACAGAUAAGUUCAUUAAGGGUCUUGUCGUAGUCUGUUUUAUAGGAGUCCCAAAGGAACUCACUAUGUGACUUAGAAAGUAGUUGAGCCACCAACUUUCUCAAGACUUUGACACCCAACUCUCUCGGCUUGUCAGUAUGUGACUACAUCUCCAAGAUGUGACCACACAUAGAGCUUUACUUGCCAAUAGGGCUUGAGUGACCUUAAACUUUUCAAGAACUUGUUGGUUAGGGAGAAUAAUUGGAGGGGGUGAAAGAAGUAUGAUUUCCAUGGGACAUCAUCUUCAUUUAGGAAAGCUUGUUUCAAGAGAUUUGGGAAGAUCAUAAAUGUCUAAACUAGACAUCUUUUGGGAGAUAUUCAAGAUAGUUGAUUUAAAGUCCUUAAUAUGACACCCAAUAUGAAAUAUUAAGGCUAGGACCCAACAAACUAUUUUAUAACUUAGAAGAGGUAUGCUGUAAUCCAAGCUAUAAAAUAUUUGAAGGUAGGUGAAUGACGAUUCACCAAUUUCCACCAAGAUAAACGAAAUGUAUUAUUAGGUUUUAAUUGGUUUUGAAACUCCUAGAUCUUUUGAGAUUCAUUGAACUGUUCAAUGGCAUGUUUCAAUCUCGAGUGUGCCCUUCAGGUUUUGUGACUGGGAUGCCGAGGAUCACAAAACAAGGUGUGAAGUAACCAUGCAAAUUACUUGGUACCCUUAAGUGUUUACCCCUCAAUCGAUGUGCCGGUUAACCACACACGCUCCAUCGAUACUAUGAUAAACAUUAAGUUACCAUUUUCCUACCUUGUUAAAUACGAGUUAGUGUGCCGGUUAACCACACACGCUCCACUAACCGACUUAAACAAAGUGCAAAGUGUAAUUUCAUGGAUUAGCACCUUAUUCACAUUUUCCUAAGUAACUAAGAUUGGGUAUUUAUAAAAGGUUUAGUUACUUAGUAUUUAUCAUUAAUACUUUUAAUGAAGGGAGAAUUAUAGUCCUUGUCCUACCCGUUCGGCUAACGACCCUCCACCGGUCAAGGAAGCGGUGGGUGAGAGUGGACACCCAUUAAACUGCCAUUUUAUAGGCAGUAACCUUAUACCCCCCUUAUAGACCGACUUCGUGAAUGAGGCCUACUAACGGUAAGACUGACUUUGUUCUUAUACAUAUAUAUAAGUAUUAACUAUUAAUAUUAUAAUAGUAUAAUGGUGUAUUUUAAACAUUUAAAAUACUUGGUGGUUUAAUCUAUUAAUUAAAAUAUACUCUUAAUUUGAUUAAACUUAAACCACGUCUUUAUGGAAUUAUUAACUCUUUUAACUAGACACUUUAAUUAAUUUAAUGAAGUCCAUAAAGUUUGAACUUUAACUUUUAAAAAUCUUGGGUUUGGAAUUAAAGUGUAUAUGGGGUUUGACUUUACAAAUUCCAAAACUUGAGGACAAGUUUUGAACAAUUCAAAAAACUUAUGGUUUCCAUAACUUAUGAAUUUUAAAGUGGUUUAAUGGAAAAAACCCUUCAAGUUCCAUAACUUGUAGACAAGUUAUGGAAGACUUUAAAAGCAUUAAAAAAUUUGACUCUUCAUUUUUUCAUAAUUUAUGUAAAUUUUAUGAGUUUUUAAAAUUCAUAAAUGUGACUUUUCAUGUAACUUGAGGACAAGUUACAAAAACACAUAUUAUGAACAACUUCAAGAUUAAUUUGGAUUGAAAACAACUAUCUCAUAAUUUUUCCUAUUAAUCUAAACAAACUCAUAAACAUGAACAUUCAUAAUCAACAUUUUUCAAGCAUCAUAUAAACAUGUAUAAAACUUGAAACUUUGAUUAUUAUCCUUUAUUUGGAUGAGAAUAAACAUUACCAUAGUAUCAAAAAACAAAUUUGCGGUAAUGAUUCUAAUCCAAACCAGGCCAAAAAAAACUCGAAGAUAAGCUGUCAGGGGGUCCAACUCGUCGAGUGCAUGAACCAACUCGACGAGUUGGAAGAAUUUGUUCAUCGACUCGUCGAGUUCAUCACUGGACUCGACGAGUCUGCUGUCCCGACAGGAAAAAAUUCGAUAUUUUUUCCAGUUUUUUUCAGCAACUUGCAUCAAGUAUAAUUGAUAACAACCUAUGGCUCUGAUACCACUGUUGGGUUUUGGUAUACUACAACAUCAUAUGGUGCACAUAAAACCAUAAAUACCUUGGAUCUAUGUUUUCACUAAUUAUACAUGAAAAUGGUUUCCAAGGUAUUAAUCUUACAACUAGCAUGCAUUUAACAUAAAAAUUAUAAUAUACUAGUUAGCAUGACAUACCUUUUGAUGGAGCUUGAAUUCUUGGUGUAUUUGGCCUUAAAGAGCUUAGCCCCAAUAGUGUGGAAGCCUCAAAUGGAAUCACAACACACCAUGGACAAAGGAUGAACUUGAGAGAGAAUUCCAUGCACACAAAAGACACCAUUAACUCUAAAAAGAUACAAGUGGCGAUUUUGGGCAAUGAAGUAUCUAUUUAUAUGUGGGAUUUCUAGGGUCAUGGAUAUAACCCAAAUCCAUACCCAUGGGUUUUAUGAUCCAUGGUUCAUGUGGCCCAACUUUUUAUGUAUCCAUACAUAAACUUGGUCCAACAUGGAUCAUAAAUAUAAAUAUAACUAAUUAUCAUAAUUAGUCCCCAUAGAUUUAAUUAGUCUCUUUUGACCACUAAAGUAAUUCCAAAUUAAUUCUUAAUCAAUACUAAUUAAAACAUAUGAUUUCAUAUUAAUAUAUUAUAACUUAUAAUAUAUUAAUAAACCAUAACUAAGCUUCUCUCAAAAGUCCAUCCUAACAUAUUGUACUGAUGAUAUGCAACCCAAAUGGACCAUGCUACUCUCGGGUUGAAUACAUACCAAUAAUAGUUAUGGGCUUAGACACCUAAUCCAACAGUUCCACCCAGUGAAUGCUCAGAUUUUCUACUGCUUCGUUCAAGAUUCGCUCCAUGGACCAAGGAGGAAAUAACAGUUUCUUGGAAGCUAGGGCAGUUUGAGCAUCACGUUCCACUUUUUCUUUUUCUUCUUCCUCUCUCGCAAUGUGUAAGUUUUUCAUCGAGAAUGGCAUCACGAGCCUUAUGUUUCAGUUUCUCAUUUCAUUUUCUUCCUCUUCUUCUUCUUCAACCAUUUUCUCAUUUCCCUUUGAACCCGAAGAUACAUUACCCUUCGGUUCAGAUUCAGAAACUUUCACUUUUACUUUUUCACCAACCUUCUUGGGGUCUUUUGAAGAUGGAGGCUUCACCGAUUCUCCCCCUUGUUUUGGAAUUGAGCUAAAAUCCGAAACACCCUCAAGGCGAUUUAGCAUUGCGAACGUCGGGUGGAGUUUGUUUGCAUGAUGAUUCCUAACAGUGAUGGGGAUCAACGGAUCACGAACCUCGACAAUAUUAGAUAGCAUGGAGUUGACAUUUGAAACACAGCUUUUUGUGACAACUCUCUCAUUCAAGAGCUCAUUGACGUGCUUUUUUCAUUCUCCAGUUUCACAUUCAACACCUUCACUCUUUCAGACUUGAGUGCAAGAGCAUCCAUUAUUUUGCUCUCAAUAGCUAAGUCAUCUUGAAGCUUGGUGAUUUUGGAUGUGAUAGAAGAGUUUAGCUUAGAGUUGUCAGUUUGAAUUCUUGUACGAACCUUCUCGAGAGCCUCCUUCUUAGUGCGAAGGGAUACACUCAGAUCCGAGAUUGCUGCAUUGGCUUUGGCAGUGUUGGUCUCAAAGGAGCUCUGAAAGAUGCUCAUGAAGGCUUUGCCAUCAGUAAUUAGUUUAUUGAAUUUUUCGAUCGCUUCCUUGCAGGUCUUAGCCGAAUCCUGCACGACUUUGUUCGCCUUCUCUAGGUUCUCAGCAUGCUCUUUUAAAGUUGUUUCUAUUAAAGCUUUGACUGCUUCCUGGGAAUAUGCAUUGCUGGAUGAAGUGUUGGAAGAUUAGAUUAACGAAUCCAUUUUGUCAUUGAUGGUUUUGAAUUGUUUUUGAGUGACUAGAGCGUCAUCGUCACUCUCGUCUAUAACACGAAAAGGACUAAAGGUGAUAUUUUCAAAAUUUACAUCACCUCCAAAAAUAGUAUUCAGAUCAUCCUUGCUUAGUGGAGAAACUAGUGGUGUUGAAUGACCAACUGAGAAGCCCUUGCCCUUGCCCUCGCAUUAGAUGUUCUAACAGUGACUGGAGGUUCGUCAGUGGUAGUGGUUGUAGUGGCAGUUGAAUCUAUGAAGAAGGUGGUCUGGGUUUGCGAAAGCCCCAAGGAUACUAGUGGGAAAGGUGCGAUUGUGAUCGGAGUAGAGACAGUAGAUGUGGGUGAAGAUAUGGAAAAUUCCUGGAAUAGACCUUCAUUAAUUGGAACGGAAGUUGGGAUUUCAAACCUUUCGUCAGGGUUUGUAGUUACAGGCUCCGAAACCUGUGGAUGCGAUGUAGUGGAAGCAUCAUCCUCCUUGUGAACCUCUUCCUGAAUAGGAGUCUCCGAAACGGUGUGAGACUGCGAAUCCUCCUGGUCACUCGGAGUUGGAGACCUAGGCGUACGAGCCAUCUUGUUAACCCUCUUCCUUUUUGGUGCCUGUGGAGGUUCAGAAGGACCGACUUUCGCAACCCUCUUUUUACCUCCCUUUUUGGGUUUAUCAACCUCAGCAAGAAUUUGUUACAAUUCAUCAAUCAGUGGGUAAAAUCCUAAGACUGGCAGACUGCGAUAAGCGUGUAGUACUUCGCUCGCAGCUGGAACCUCUUGCAAAAUCACUUCAGGAAUGGAUCCGAUGAAGCUGAAUUUGGAGGUAUCAACAUGUAUGAUGUUCAUGGUUUGGAAAGUCAGAAUCCCUACCAUUAUUGAAUCUUCGAGCACUGGGAUGUUGAGUUUGUUGAUUUCCCUUUGAACGACAAUGUACCAGAGACAAGCACAGGAGAUUUUACUGUGUCGUGUGGUAGAGUGGGUGCUUUUGACCAACUGGAAAUAGAAAACUGAACCGUAGUCCAGGUUGAUGCAUGAGUAGCUUCUAUACAUUAGCAUCAUGAAAAUUUUGCUCGCACAGUUUGAGCCGGUGACUCUCUCUGAGAAGCUUUUGAAGAGUAAAGAGGUUGUUCCACAUUGAUGGAAAAUUCGGCUUCUUGAACUUGGAAACAGUAGUUAACGUUUCCUUAUAACCCAUCUAAUAGAACAUCUCUAGAAUGGCAGAGUUGGAGACGUUUUCGGGGCCAAUCAUCUCACUACCCUAUGGAAGCCCUAGAAGGUUGCAGAACCUUGAAUUAGUAAUUUGGGUUUUCUAAUUGAAGAUCUCGAAUAUGAUGAAUUCAUCACCCUUUGUAUAACUAGCAGUAGAAUAUGCUUUUGACAGAUUCACCAUCGAAACAAUUUUAGACUUGGUAAGAGCGAUUACCAGUAGUGAAUACCUUAAGCAUUCAACGAUCAGUUGAAGAAAACCGUCGUAUUUUGUAGGAUAGAGAUUGAGAAUCAUGUUUUGAUUAGCUUGGAGGUGGAGGAUUGAGGAUUGAGCCAUCUAUUCUGUUGCAGAAGGUUUUUCCGAAGAGGCAGCCAUUGAUGCUUGUAGAAGAAGAUGAAUAGUAGAGAGAGAUUUUUCUAGAGGGUUUGAUAUCUUUGAAAAUAGUAAUGAUAACUGAAGCAUCGAUAUCCUUUUGUACCGUGUAUUAGGAGAAAGAAAUAUGGCGUUCGGUGCUUUAACUGCUUGUAAAAGGGCUUGAAAAAGCAUGACUGACAACUGUUGUGUGUGAGUCAGGCGGCGGUAAAGCAGGCAGUAAGGAGUCGUUUCAAGUUCCAAGCGCCCAAUUUUAAUUAUUAUCUCUUUAAUAGCACCGUUUCAAUUUAACCCUUUUCCGCCAAUACAGAUGAGCCUUCGUAUUAGAUUGCCAUAAGUUAUUCUGAGAAACUAAAAGUAAACAUGAGUACCACGAACCAGAGUUUGGAAAAUCACAAGGAUCUUUGUGCGAAAGUGUGCCAAAGAUUAAAGAAAUAAAGCGAGUUUUAUUAGGGAUUCCAGUGAUGUCAUAGAAGACAUAAAACGGAUGGAUCCUUGGAAACGAUCUCUUCCUUCACAGUCAAGAGAGACUUUGAAGUGCUUGUGUGGUGUCCCCUUGAAUUACGAUCAACUGUUUGUUGAGAGUAGUGAAAGGCAUCUUUUAGUAAGGCGAAUGAGGUGGCUUAGUCUUCAAGUAAAUCCAAAACUCAACAUAAGUCCGAACGUUCGUAUGAAGUUCUUGUUUGACCAGUGUAGCCAUAAAACAAGUAUGCUUGGGAAUUAUUUUCAGUGGAAAUCUCAAGAAAAAUAAAAUUGGAUCUAUUGGGAAGAAAUGUCUUAGGACUAGAACAUUUCAUUUAGAUCUCGCUAAAGAAAAAGAGAUUUCUUGGUACCGACCGCGAAGGUGGACAUUCGUUAAUUCCUUGGUGAAAAAAUAUAGAACAUGUACCGUAAAUUCGUAAAAAUGUGUUGGAUUUUGGGUUUCACUUAAUUUGUGGUAAUAAUGAAUUUAAGAUCAUAAACACUAAAGAUGUGUAACCAUAAACCUCAAUGGUAAUUUCUGAGAGUCUCAAGGGUUACGUUUCUAAAUGCGAAAGUGAUGGAGAAGUAGUUGGAGGUGGUUCCAAAGAAAUAAUGUACCUCUGCUAUGCGAAAGUGACCAAGCAACGAACUCUUGACUCUAUGUGAGAAGAGUAAUGUGGCUCAUGACUUAUGUGAAUAAACAACCUAAUUGGGAAGAAACGAUUGGUGUUAUUCGCUUCAUUAAGACUUCAACAUAGAGUCUUUGAGGCUUCAGACAACAUGCAACAACAUGUUUCUAAGGACACUUAACUAGGAAUAGAUUAAGAACUUUAUACCUAUCCCAUCAUUCGUAGUUGAGAUCAUCAACAUAUGAAUCUUCAAUCCUACCAAAUUAUCUAAUAUUUUUGGUAUUUUAUAAUUUUAUGAAAAGAAAUAAAUAAAUAAAAUGAAGAAAAUAUUUUUGAAUUUUUGGUUUUUCUAAAAAAGAAAUUAAAAACAUAAAGAAAAAAUAUUUUUGAGUUUUUGGAUUUUCUAAAAAAGAAAUUAAAAACAGAAAGAAAAAAUAUUUUUGGAUUUUGUUUUUCUGAAAAAGAAAUAAAAACAGAAGCAAAUAAAAAAAAAUUAUUAACAAAAUGUACAAAGGAUACAUGAAAUUCCGAACCUUCGAAUGAACAGUGGACUGCGAGUUACUAUGAGCGUUCGCACCAAUUUGCAGUAUGAAAAGUAGACUAUGAGUCAUUGCGAGCGUUCGUACCAAUUCGCCGUUAAAACAUUAUGAAUGUGAAGGUGGUUUUGGAACAGAUUCAGCCUCUGUCAUUCCUAGGCCUUGAAGAAUGUGAUUGAAGGUUUGCUCAGGUAAGGCUUUCAUGAAGAUGUCAGCCAAUUGAUCAAUGGAUCUAAUGAAGUGUAUCUUAACAUUACCAUCUUCCACAUGAUCUUUGAUGAAGUGAUACCUCAGUGCUAUAUGUUUCGUCUUUGAAUGUUGCAUUGAGUUGUGACAAAUACGAAUGGCGCUCUCAGAAUCGCAAUAUAAAGGGAUUUGCUUCCUGUUGAUACCAUAGUCGCGAAGCUGAUUCUGAAUCCAGAUUACUUGUGAAGUGUAAGAGGCAGCGGUUAUGUACUCUGAUUUAGCAGUUGAUAGGGAGACACAAGUUUGCUUCUUUGAUUGCCAACUUACGAGUUUACCAUCAAGAAAUUGGCAUCCUCCCGUAGUACUCUUUCGAUCUAAACUGCAACCUCCAAGAUUAGCAUCUGAAAACGCUUGCACAAAGAAACUUGAACUUGAAGGGUGCCAUAUUCAUAGUGAAUAUGUUCGCUUGAGAUACCUGAAGAUAUUCUUAACAGGGUUCAUGUGAGGUUCGCGAGGAUUCACUUGAAACAUGGCAUAGUAGCAGACGGAAAACAUGAUAUCUGGAAGACUAGCAGUCAGAUACAUCAGUGAACCUAUCAUUUGAUGAUAGAGAGUCAUGUCAGCAGUUGGCUUGUCUAAAGACAGUGUUAGUUUUGUUCCAAAUGCCAUUGGAACCUUCACCUUUGAAUCUCCCACCAUUCCAAACUUAAAGAAUAUGGUCUUUGUGUAAGCCUCUUGAUGUUUAAAGAUACCUUCCUGACUCUCUAUUAUAUUCAAGCCAAGGAAAAAAGUUAAUCAGACCCAUGGAACUCAUCUCAAACUUAGUUUCCAUUAACUUUCAAAACUCAGCUGUUAAGUUGGGGUUAGUUGAUCCAAAGAUGAUGUCAUCAACAAAAAAUUAGACGAUCAUCAAGUGGUCAUCGUCUUUCUUGCGAAAGAAGGUUGGGUCGACCGAUCCCUGUUUAAAUUUAGCCUUUUUUUUAAAACGAGUUAGAGUUUCGUACCCGGCUCUCGGAGCUUUCUUUAGACCAUAAAUUGCCUUUUACAGAACAUACCAGUGGUUCGGAUACUAUUCGUUUAUGAACCCUAGUGGUUGUUCCACAUACACUGUUUCUUCUAGUUUCCUCUUUAGGAAUGCAUACUUGACAUCUAUCUGAUAUACUGUAAAGUUCUUGUGUGCCGCGUAUGCCAGAAAGAUGCGAACAGAUUCCAACCUUGAAAUAGGUACGAAGGUCUCUUCAUAGUCAUUUCCUUCUUCCUGACAGUAUCCCUUGACAACAAUUCACACCUUGUUCCUUAUCACAUUUCCUUCUUUAUCUAGCUUAUUGCGAAAUACCCAUUUUAGACUAACUACAGACGCAUCCUUUGGAGUGGGAAUAAGUCUCCAGAGUCUGUUUCGUUCAAAUUCAUUGAGCUCCUCUUGCAUCGCUUGUAUCCAGUCAGAGUGAUUAAGCAUAAUCUGAACAUUUUUAGGUUCAAUUUUGGAGAUAAGCGAACUGAACAUGCAAUAUUCUACUUUAGAGAACAGUGCAGUUCGCUUUGCCUUUUUUUAUGCUCUCAUAAGAACUCCUGAAGAUGAAUCUCCUAUAACUUGAGUGUUUGGAUGAUCUCUGGUCCAUUUACUCAACGGAGAGAGAUUAGGAUCAUAUGUAGGAUCCAAUUCAGCAUUUGUAUCCUCGUAUUCUAACUGCACAUCCUCAGAAUCAUCAUUCGUUUCUUUAUUCUCCCCAUCGAAUGAUGAGAGUUUCUCUACUUCCGGAAAAGAAUUCUCCCCCUGGACUGCACUUUCGUGGGUCUCCUGAGGAUUGAAUACUCACCCUAAAAAGGUGUAUCUGAUGUGGAGGUUGAAGUAGAACCCUCCCCCUGCAUUGGUGUGUUCGCACCUUGUGAUUCUUUCACAGUCUGAGGUUCACUUUCAAGAUUCUUCGCAGUUUUGUCAAUAAUCUUCUUCAGUUUUUCUUCCUUGUUGUCUAUUGCUUUGUAUUCGGAGGAGAUGGCUUUUUUAGGUUCGCCGAAUAAGUUCAUGAACUCCUCGUAGAGAUUGGAGAGUGGAAUGGUUGUAGGAUUCAGUUUAGGAAAGAUCUCUUGUGAGGGACUGUCAUUCUUCUAAAACUUCUUCAAGUAAUUGACGUCAAAAGUAACAUAGUAGGUUUCUUCAAUACUUUUGGACCUUUUGUUGAGAACCCUAUAUUCUUUAGAAGUCAAAGAAUACCCUAAGAAUAUACCUUCAUCAACUUUCAUAUCCAAUUUGUUCCUUUGCUCCUUUAAAUUGAAGAUAAAGCCCCUAGAACCAAAAACAUGGAAAAACUUGACAUUAGGUUUGCGAUUAUUUAUGAUUUCAUAUGGAGUGACAGAGAAUCUCUUAUUGAGAAUGGAAUGAUUUUGGGUAAAGCAUGCAGUUCCUAUUGUAUCUGCCCAUAAGUAAAGCAACAGAUUCGCGGAUGAUAGCAUAGUUCUCGCAGUUUCGCACAAUGAGAGGUUUCACCUUUCAAUGAGUCUGUUCUAUUGUGGAGUAUAAGGAGCUAAAAAUUUGUGAGUAGAUCCUUUCGCUGUAAGAAGUUGUUCAAAAUCUUGGUUUUUGAAUUACAACUCGUUGUCACUGCGAAUGUUGCGAACUAGCUUUCAUAAUUGUAUCUUGAUUUGCUUUAUGAAAUCCUUGGGCGUUGCUUUUGAUUUUUGCUUAAGAAAAUGCACCCAUGUGAAUCUGGAAAAAUCAUCUACAAUUACGAGAAUGUACUUAUUUCCACCAACACAUUCAAUUGCAGAAGGACAAUAAAGGUCUAUAUGCAAAAGCUUGAGUGGUUCUAUGACUUUCGUGUUCACAAUUGGUGGAUGACUCUUCCUACCUUCUUCCCUAAUUCACAGGCUAUACAAAGAUGUUAUUUAUUAUACUUCAAGAGUGGAAGCCCUCGCACAUGAUCACCAAGAACUAAGUUGUUGAUGUCUUUGAAAUUGAGGUGUGAAAGACAGCGAUGCCAUAGCCAGCUAUCAUCUGAUGAAACUUUCGUAAGUAGAUAAAUGUUAGGCUUUCAUUUGAUAGGAUUCAGAUUAAGAGGGUACAUUUCUCCCUUUUGUUUUGACUUUAACAAUACAUUUUUGGUUGCCUUUUUAAUGAUUUCGGACCCUUCAUCAUUGAACGAAACCUUCAACCCUGUACCAACCACCAACUGCGAAACACUAAUGAGGUUGUGUUGCAGUCCUUCCACAUACACGACUUUGCUAAUUGAAACUCUCCAUUUGUUAUAAUCCCAUAGCCCUUGAUUUCUCCAAGUGAAUUGUUGUCGAAUUUCACUCUUCCCCCAUCCUUUAGGACCCUGAACUCUCGCAUUUCUUCCCUUCUUCCCGUCAUGUGACAUGAGCAACCACUAUCUAUGUACCAUUCGGAGUCAAACUGCUCGUCACUAAUUAGCUAUAAAAUCAAGCAAAUUUAGGAACCCAAAGUUUUUUGGGUCCUCUUGAGGUUUUCACAGAAACAGGAAAAGUAAUGGAAACAUCAACCAUAUAAGUUCGUUUUAUUAAGGUGGUUUUAUAUUUCUUUGUGUUUUGAAAAACAAUGAUCCGAUUGUCCUUUAAGUCCGUAUCUUUUAAGGAUGUUUUCUUUUGUUUAUUAUGGAUUUGCUGCUUGACAAAUUUCUUGUCAUCUCUCUUUGAGUUAGUUUCAGAUUUCUUGAUUGGAAUUUUAGGCUCUGAAACCAUCUUUCCUUUUCCCUUAACAUCUUUUGAUGUCUUGGUAGAUUGUGAAACAUUUUUGUUAGGAAAGUUAUGAGAUUUUGAAUUUUCCAUAGGCUUCAUUUUAUUUGGAAAAAUGGGUUGUUGAAAAACUUUUUGUUUGGAAGCCUGUGGAGACUGAGACUGACUUUUUGAAAAACUCCUAAGGUUCGCAUGUGACGAAACGUUCGCAUUUGGAUUGGAAGAAUUUUCUUUUGGAACAAAAUUGGGAUUCUUUGAUUUCCAGAACUGCUUUCUUUCCUUUAGAUUUUUAUUAUGUCUCGCAUUCCUUUGGCAUUUUUUAGCGGUGAACUACUCAGAAGACUUAUGAAUUUUAGUCUUGGCUUUCGGCUUGCUAACUGGAGUUUCGAUCUGAAUGGAUGAAGUAUCACUUGAAACAUUCUUAGUUGCACUAGGACUCCCCUUUUCGUAGCUUGAGUUAAUGUUAUUUAGUGGUUCUGCUACAUAUUUUCCCUUUGUCUUCCAAGAGGUCGUUUCAGAUAGACCUUUGGUUUCAUCGACAUUAUCGAUCGGGGAUAACCAAAAGAACUCGUCGCAUCCAUCUUUAUUGUCGUCUUCAACAAUGGACGUUAAUUCAGAUGUUUGGUUUUUGUUCAAUCCUUUAGUUUUGAAAACUUGGCUAGGGACCAUUUCAACCUUUGAAAAAACAGUUUCUUUUUUCGUGUAAAACUUUUGAUUUAUCUUCAGAAAAACAUGCAAACUCAACUGAAUUUUUUGAUGUUAAGACUUUCGCAUGUUUAGAUUUACUUUUACAAACUCAGAGCAAUCAACCUCAUCCUCCACAAAAAUUUCACUCGUAUCACUUUCAUCAUCGAAUUCAGAAACGUUUUCAACAUCUAGUUUAUUUUCCGAACUCAACUUGGUGCUUAAUGAGUCAAACUUCUGUACAUUUUCGGAUUUAAUUUGCUUUUUGUCUUUUUCAUCUAAAAGUUGUUUAAGCAUGCUUUUGUGGUCUUUGGACUGUAUGUAUGAUUCUAUUUUGUCCGGUCCUACCCUGUAAGUAUCUGAAACUUCCUCUGAUGAGACAAAAGAUUCACAUUAGUAACAAUCAAUGUUUAUUUCAUCUUCUAUUAAUUCAAGGAAUGGCAAGAUCAUUUUAUGCAGUUUCUUACCAAUCUCACAAUCUAAAUGCAACUGAGUGAUAUUAAAAUAAAGUCUUUUGGCAAUUAAAAAAAAAUAUUACGUUGUUUUAAAACACAUAAAUUAUCUCUCUGCAAAUAAAUUAAUGCAUCCCUAGACUUAGACAAAUUUGACUCCAAUUUUCAAAUCCACAUGCGUCGCUCUUCAUUCUUUGACGAAACCCUGCCGAUUUGAUUGGUUAAGUUAGAAUUUGUCAAACGAGUUCAUUUUAGAAUAUCACUGAAACUUGAAAAUAUGUAUUUUAAUUUGUUUAAUUUGGUUUCAUAUUUAGAUAAAGGUAUAUUUAGAGAUUCAAGAAUAGAGUUUACCUUGUUGAUCACCUGAUCACACUCGCUAAUCUGCUCAAGAACUGAUUUCGUAGCGAAACAACUAUCAGUGCUACGUCUACCAUCAGUUGCAUAACCCUUCAUCUUUGACACUUCAUUGGUAACCAUCAAACACCUUCCAUUAACUUGAGAGNUAAAAUAAAGUCUUUUGGCAAUUAAAAAAAAAUAUUACGUUGUUUUAAAACACAUAAAUUAUCUCUCUGCAAAUAAAUUAAUGCAUCCCUAGACUUAGACAAAUUUGACUCCAAUUUUCAAAUCCACAUGCGUCGCUCUUCAUUCUUUGACGAAACCCUGCCGAUUUGAUUGGUUAAGUUAGAAUUUGUCAAACGAGUUCAUUUUAGAAUAUCACUGAAACUUGAAAAUAUGUAUUUUAAUUUGUUUAAUUUGGUUUCAUAUUUAGAUAAAGGUAUAUUUAGAGAUUCAAGAAUAGAGUUUACCUUGUUGAUCACCUGAUCACACUCGCUAAUCUGCUCAAGAACUGAUUUCGUAGCGAAACAACUAUCAGUGCUACGUCUACCAUCAGUUGCAUAACCCUUCAUCUUUGACACUUCAUUGGUAACCAUCAAACACCUUCCAUUAACUUGAGAGACUUCAGCCUUCGCCACGAAGUUGCUUCCAUGAGUAGGUCUGUGAACCUCUUCAUCUUCUGAGUCAGUUGACCAUACCUCGAUUCUACCAUACUCAUCUUUAGCUUUGUUUUCCUUCACAAUCAAAGCAUGCAUGGUAUUAUCAGCGUUCUUUUUCUUUUUGAUCUCCUCUAACUUUCGAAGAUAGUAUGUCUCGUCAACCUCUCCCUCCAUCUUCUCGUUCAAUCUUCUCAGCAUGCAUUCUUAGGCUAGAUGGUUUUUACCAUGACAAAAGUUAUAAUCAUAGCCGGAGUUCCCCAUAAGCUUUUUAUCCUUAUUUGCUUCUUCUUUCUUAGAGUUAUUUGCACUCUCCUCCUUUACAUGUACCGAGCUGUAACUUCCUUGCCAGUUUUGAUUCUUGUUGCGACUGAAGUUCUUCUUUGCAAAAUUCUUUGGAUUGGACACCAUCAAGGCAUAAUCCUCUUUUGAGAGUUCACAAUUGGAUAGUUCAGUCUCCGAUCCAUCAUCAUCUAUAACCUUUUUUACCCUUCACAACGAGGGCAAUGAUCCCAUUCCAGACACUAACUUCCCUUCUUUUGUCACUUCAUCUUCAUGUGACCUCGAUAUUCCAACAAGCUUUGCCAACAUGUAGUUCCUAAACUACUCAUGUGCUUUUACGAUAGAAACUAUAGUCUUCCAUUCAUAUCUCAUGAACGUGACUUUUUGCAAAAUUAGUUCAUGUCAGAUGCUGUGCUUCAUAAUCCUACUGAGAAGAUGAUUAUAUCGAUUGAAAGUUUGAUCUAGACUCUCUUCAGGCUUUUAUACAAAGGCUCCAAACUCUGAAAGCAGAAGGGUUUGUGUAGAAUGCUCAAGAUCAGCAUCACUUGAGUAUAGUUCAUUGAGCCUAUGCCAUAUAGCUUUUGCUGUGUCACAUGAACUUAUCAGACGAAAAGUGUCUGGUGGCAAAGCAAAUAUAAUGAUCAUCAUCACUUUAACAUUGCUUAUCAGGUUAUCCUUCUCAUCUUGUGGUACGUCUUUUGCAUCAAGAAGAAGCUUGUUGUAGUCGGCUUGAGUUUUAAUUACUCUUCUUGUUCCUGUAUGAGCAAAUGUCUGGACAAUAAUGGCUUCCCAUAUCAAAUAAUCAUUAUCUUCAAGCCCUAGGACAUAAUAUUCAAAGUGCAACGCCCACACUUCAUAAUCACUAGGUAAAAGAAUGGGGAUUAUGGUUGUAGGUACAAUGCUGCUUGAAAGAUUUAUGGAGUUAAUAUGAGAUUCGUCUGACAUGUUUAAAGAUCGAUUAAAACCUGUAUGAAUCAGAUGCGUAAACUAAAAAUAGUUUUAAGGUAAUAUCAAGAUCAAAGAUCAGUGUCAAUAACAAUGAUGACAGCUAAACCAGAUCCAAUAAUAGCGGACACCCUUAAAACUCUUUUAACAGAAGAGAUGCUUAUAGAUUACACAGUCUCCUGCUUUGAUACCAAAUUUUGACAUUAAAAAUCUAAAGAGUGAAUAGAUUCAAACAGGAAUAAGCAAUCAAACACAAAAUAUGAAUCAAGAAUGUGUCGAAUGAUUAAAAGUCACGGCCUUAGAAGAACUCGAUAAAGAACUGCUACUGUAGAGGCUAUGUAGGGUUUACAAUGACACGAUUAGAAAAUACACGAUGCAUGCAUGCACCUUAAAUAGUAAAACACUAAUCAUUAAUCACAUGUGGACAGGCCCAACCCGGAUACAAAAUAGACUAUACAAAAGCCCAUAAUGAAGCAACACUAAAUACCCAAUAGUUCUCAAAUGUUCUCAAAUUAAGAAAUGUUCUCAUUUGAACACACACACACACACACACACACAUAUAUAUAUAUAUAUAUAUNUAUAUAUAUAUAUAUAUAUAUAUAUAUAGUGUUUUUGUUGUAAAUGGAGGCGGUGAAAGUUUAUGAUAAAGUAAAUCGCAUUGUCUAGAUAUCAUUUUGAGUGUUUAGAAAUGAUAAGUAAUCUCACUGUUAUCAAAAUGUAUAAUAAUUCCAAGAAAAUAAAGAUACAUGUGUGGCCAUCAAACGAAGUAGUAAAAAAAAGAGAUUAAUUAAGGUUAAAGGUUUAAGUCAUUUGUAAUGGAAUUUAUACAUAAAUAUGUAGAUUAGUCUUUUGAAAAAUUUUCUAAUUAUUUAAGUCAAGACAAAUAAAAGUUUACGAGAAGUCAGGGUAUUUACGAAAACAAGUUGGAGAGUUUAGGAACUCAUUCGAGAUUGCAAAGUACAAUGCUAUUUUAAGAAAUGUGUAAAAAUAUCAACCAUUGAAAAUAGUGUAUUCUUAUUUUAGUGAUCCUACAAAAAAAAUCAUUUUAAGGAUAGAUAAUUGUAACAUUUAAAACUUUUUAUAUUUUUAAAGAAUAGAAGAAACAUAAGAAAAUAUAUUUUUCACGUAUAUUUUAUGAAUUUAGAAAAAUGAUAAUAACAAGGGUAUUCAUCUUGUGUAUUAACUGUAAGGAAAAUAUAAUAAAAAUUGCAUUUUAAAUCAAAUUUCCAAAUUUAAAACGAAAUAACAAAUGUAAAUAAGGAUUACUCGUUUAUAGUGGAUUUCAUAAUAAAAACAAAAUUUAUAUGAUAAAAGGCAUAAUUGAAUAUAUCAAAGUUGACCAAGUAAAAAUUAUGCCUCCUCACUAUACAUGCACGUAUUAAUCGUUCAUAAUGAAAAGGUAGAAUUCUAGUAUGUAUGCGUAUGAAUAUGGUAAUAAGGUGAGCAAAAUAGACAAAAAAAAAUUAGACCAUGCAUUGUGUUAUUAUUAUGAGUUUGCAAGUUCUCAAAUCAGAAGGAGAGCAAGAAAUCAAGUACGGGGAAAAAAAGGAAGGUAGUAGCAGCAAUGAUUGCUAUUAUUAAUAUUAUAAGAACAAUACCUAUAAGUAGAUUUAAAACUAGUAUGAGAUAUAUUUCGAACUUCAAUCUUUAACGUAUGUUGAUGAUUAAAUAAACAUGUGGAAGUUUUAAAGUGUUUUCUAAGGUUUGCUAAAAAAUCAUGAGUUAUCUAUUAAGUUAAACUUCAUUUGUGAAAUAGAAGAAACACUAAAACUGGUAAUUAAAAAUCUGACAAUUUUGACUUUUUAAAAUGAAGUCAAAUAAUGGUUAAAAUGGAUAAGGUAAAGACUCAAUAUUUUCAAAAGAAUAAUUAUACAUUGUUGAAAGUGUGUCAUUUGAAAUUUAAAAGUGGCACUAAGUUUUGCAUUGUGGUAAAAUCUAGGAACUUUAUAGAUUAUAAAACUAAUUUGUAAUAAAAUGAACAAAUAAGGUGUGUUUUGAAAUGUCGGAAUUAGUGAUGUCUUGUAAACACGUUUGGAGUUGAAAGUUGUAAAAAUAUCUUGUUGGAUUUCAAGAAAACACAUUUAAGUAAAGUACAAUGCCUAAAUGAGAAAGUGGUCAAAAGAGUCAAAACAAAAGUGGUUUGAAAGAUCCAGUGAAGCUUUUACACAUAAUAUGAACUUUAAUGUCAUAUGUUUAAGUUUUAUAGCAUAGAGUUUAAACACUUUUAUAAAUGAAAAUGUUUCUAAGUUUUUUGAAAAUGUACCAAAAUGGUAAGAAAUGAUUAAAAUGGUUUAUAUGCCCUUAAAAAGCACAUCUAUCCAUUAAAAUGGAUUUGAAAUGAAAUUAAAAUAGCAAGAUUAAAACCAAUAUUGGUUAACCUAAGUUUUGAAAAAAAGUGUUAAGUUAAAACAAGUUGUUAAAAGUAAAGUUGGUUGUUUUUAGCGAGAAAUAUUGAUUAUAUGGUUAGAAAAUGUCUAGUAAGUUAUAUGAAGUGGUUAUAAAAUAUUGUACUGAUGGUAAAUAAAACUAGUGAAGUGAAAUAGGUUUGGUGAAAGAUUAAGAAGUAAGGACUAAAUGGGUUAGUGUAACUAGUCGUACCUAAUACUAAUGUGAGUAUAAGGCUAGUACCGGUAACUUUUCCGCAAAAUAAAGGACACAAAAAAUUGUUUGUAAAACAUGUUAUCAUGUAGCUAUAGUUUUGUGCCUUUUAUAGGGAUCAAAGGUUAAGUCAUAGGUUUAACGUGUGGCGUAAGAGGAUGAAAUCCUUGAUAACGAUAGGAAUGUUAGUAAUGCUGAUAAGGAUUCAAAAAAAUAUAUGAAAACGAUAAGGGUCAAAAUCUUGAUAACGAUAGGAAUGUUAGUAACACCGAUCACGACUCAAUCAAUGAAGUAGUGCGAUGUUUGCUCGGGCAUGAAAAUUACGGUUGAAGGUUGGGCAUGAAAAAUGUUAGUAAUUUGGGAAGUGUAAGAUGAUUGUAUACUCGAGAUAAUCACUAGUAUAUCUGGGGGUCUCGAAUUACGCCUUGUAAGUUUUUUCAUAAGGGUGAUGGUAUGUGCUUGGAUUAGGAUAUUCGAAGUAAAGAUGGUAGCGUAAGAACUACCUAAUGAAAAGUUUUGGGUUAAAGAGAUAUCAUGUGUUAAGUUUUAAGCUCAAGGUGGAAACAACCGAAACCUAAAAUCGUCGCGUAGAAGAAAAUCCUCACGUAUUAGUAGCAAUGGGUUAAACAUCUAUGUCUGUGACAACCCAAGUCGUUCCGUUACAUUUCCCCGUUACCGUUAACGGAAUAUUGCAGUUUAUAAAAGUUCCGUUAAUUAGAGGUCGUCAAUUUAAUAAACAUUCCAUUUGUUUACAAUUAAUAUGCCGUUAAGUCGUGAUAAAAGGAAAUAAAAACACAUGACACACAUUUCCAUUUAAUUGGAAAAAGUUAGUUUUUAUUAUUAUGACCACUAAAUCGGGUGCGACCAAAAGCCCCGUAUAACGGCAGUAUCGGGUAGAUUCCCACUGAGCUCCAACUCCCACCCAUAUAUAAAGGGGAGUAAACCCCAUUUGGAGACUUUUUACACUCUCUCUCUAGACUCGUUUUCGCCCCGAAUCUAUGAUUCCCUUGCCUUAGUCAGCAGUCCUCACUGCUGAGGCAUAUGUAUUUCCCUGACGUCUCUUGCUUUCUUUAGUAAUCAAAUUCAGUAUUUUGAUAAUGAUAGCAAUUAAGGGAAAACUACUUUUUACCACAUAACACUGACCAGUCUUGGUAGAAGGCUGCUUUAUUAAAGAAAAUAUAGGAUUUUCUGGAAAGAACUCUAAUACACAGUAAACACUUAAACUACUACUUUAUAAAGUUAUUUGAAUAAAUGUCACUAAAUGCUUAUGAACUCACCAGCAUUUGUAAAAAUGCUGAUACUCGCUUUUCAAAUAACUUGUAUUUUCAGGGUAGCAUUAGACAGGUACACCCCAGGAGCCGUUGAUGAAGAUAGCUUAGUACCUUGUUGUACUUAUUAUAUUUGUAUGUAUUACUUUGAUACUUUGUAAUGUAAACUAUGUAAAACUAUUACUAUUAAUGCAAUGUUUUGUUGUACUUUGAUUACUAUAAUGCAUGUGUUGUGAUACUUGACAUGACGUCAUCCACCCCAGAACGUUUCUGCCGUUCCGGUUUUGGGGUGUGACAGAUUGGUAUCAGAGCAUUGUUUAUAGUGAGCUAAGUAUAUCAAUUCAUAAAAGAUAUACAACCUAUAAACACAAAGGGAUAAAACACUCUGACCAAGAAUUAUACUUUAAAAUAUAACCAUAUUUUACCAAAGUAUAAUAACAUCCAGAAUCUAAACACUCGAACAAAAGUAUCACAAGAAGAACAAGAAUAAAAGUCUUCGGAUGUUGAGCAUUACCGUCAAACCUGGGCAGUUAUGUAAUCGUAAGCUGGGAUAAAUGUAACCUGAUCAACUACAUUUAUCCGAGAUGCGAUGAACGUGUGCUUGGGAGUGAUAGUGGUGUACAACAGGUCUGAAACUUACCAACUAGGAAUGCUAGAGCCAAACAUAAAGUUAAAAUACUAUAGGAGUAUUUUAGAACACUAAAAGAUCCACACUAAUCCCAGAAUGAAACUCAGAAGAUAAGAAUCAAACAAGAAUUAAAAUACCAUAGGGGUAUUUUAGAAUCCAUAAACAACCUUGCGUGAAUAACUAAAAAGAUCCUUAUUGAUAUACCUACAACUACAGAGGAUGUACUCCCAAGGUUAUAUAUAAUAAGGAUCCCAUAGGCUAAGAAUGUGUGGUUUCGCUCUACUUCCUUUUCCUUGUUUGGAUGUGGAUUCCGAGUAGUAUCACAUAUUCGAAGGCCUAUCGGAUCUAAGUUAUAUAUGAUUUGUAUACCCUGUGUAAUCGUAGCAGGACUCGAUAUGGAUCAUACAGUGAAAUGUUAAUAACCUCUUAGGAUUCUUUAGACAUUUUCAUUCUCGCACGAACCCUAUAGAAAACCCUACCCACUUCAUUGCUUGACAGAAGAGUUGAUUCCGACCCCGAAGAAGUUCAUUGAGAAGAUUUCUUGUUCGGAAAUAAAUGAACCGGGUCGAGACUAUUGAAUGCUCCAGGUGCCCAUAUUCUUCUAGGGACAUCGGUGCGAAAUUUGCCUAAACUUCUAAGAUUCCCAGUCGCCCUUUAUGAGGUGAUGACACCCAUAGUCGAAAUUCGGAAGCAAGGCAAAGUAGAGAUUCAAUAUGUCCAUACGAGAAGAAAACCCUAGGAAACUACCCGAAGGAAACCAACGCCGAUUCCAGUCAAAGAUACGAGGCAGACCGAGGGAGCCAGUACAUGGAACCCGGGAAUUGUCUUUUCCUCGUGUUCGUCACGCUAAUACACCCAUAAAAUAAUACAAUUUAGUGAGUUAGUGGUUACACUACUCACGCUAUGUGUUAGGUAAAAUCGUCGUUUUCUGUUGCCAGUUACACGAUUAGGGCAGAUCCCCGCAUCUCUAUUGAGAAAAUUUUAGCCAUCUGCCCUUGUGAGCCUCUCUUUCCGCAGUUUCGUUCCGAACCGUUCUCAAAUCCCUCCAGGCCGGAGAGUGAAACCUUUCCCAGUAUAAAGGUAACUUAGUAGGAACGACUCGCAUCUUGUGGUUUUUUUCCGAUACUCAUACACCCACUUCGAUUACCAAGAAUACAUCGUAGGGAUGAAGGUCGACACUCAGACGACCAGUACCCAAGGCACGGGAAAAAUUUAUGCCUAAUACGUUCAGGACAGAAAUGUCUAGGGUUAACCAUUGUCUCUAAUUACCUUGUAUUCCUUUCCGUGUAGGAAAACCAUGCCACCGAAGAAGCGUAACCAAUCCACAAGGAAGAAACCUGCUCUCUUAUUCGAUGAAGCUACGUUCCAAGCUGCAGUCUUAGCAGCCGUAGCAGCUGUCAUGGCUCACCUGAAUGCUAACACCGCAAAUGUUAGCAAGGGCCCUGUCGGGAUUUCCAAUCCUGGCGAUGGACAGCAGCAACCAACACUUUCAUACCCAGUCACCCAAAAACCUUCACCGAACCCACUAAAGAGAAAACUCAAGAUUGAGGAGGGAAGUACCUCGGCUCAAGGACCUUCUGAAAGGCGACGAGCUGAGGCAGUCUAUACCCCUGUCAAUCCUUCCCUCCCGACCUCAAGAAGACCAUACCUAGGAGACCUUCCCCACUGCAGCAAGUGCAGCUACCAUCAUCAUGGUGUCUGCCGGGAGCUCUAUUGUGCUAGGUGCCACAUGUUGGGGCAUACUGCUCGCGUCUGCAGAACCCCGGUUGAGUUCAUUACAUCAACCACCAAUGUGGCGACCCGUACAGUUUGCCACCUAUGUGGUAAAAUGGGACACUUCAAGAAGGACUGCCCAACCGAAGGGAAAGACAAAGACACAGAAGGAGCCUGACACUACUGCUUAGGGAGAAGCGGCAAGGAACUCGUUAGAUUUUGGUACGUCUCUCGAUCUCGGAUAACUAAACUAAGAACAAUAAAAGACUAAUUCAAAUGUAAAUUCUUCCCAGUAAGGCGAAAGUCGCAGCACUGUUAUAAAAUUUAAAAUUCAUUAGGUAAAACUAUAAUGGCUAAACAUAUACGUUACGGCCAUGUAUAUUUAAGAUGGACAGACCUAGAGUGAGCGAAUGCCGCCUCAUUUCCUGUUCCUCGUUUGGUUGUGGAUUUAGGGCGGGGUCGCUCAGUCAACAGUCCUCCCCACCUUAAAUAUACAUGACUAGUAUAUGUGAGGCGAUUAUAGAAAUGCCUUGUGAGAAUCCACACAUGAAAAGGUAUUCUAUUCGGAAACACUUAGGACCCUCUAUAGUUCCGCGUCGACUCUAUCGGUCCAAGUAUCCGCGGUAGUGAUACAUAGGACGAAACCUGAGAUGUCUAGAACUUGUGUGCCUGUUCGGCACAUGACUCUAUUGAUCUUCCUUAUAUAUCAUGUCAGAGUGUGCCAACUUCGACGACUCUAUUGAUCAUGGUUCGACUACGUGCAGCCAUGUGUACAUUCUUAGUGUUGUGUAAAAAGAACUUUCUCCGUAGCCAUGUCGGCAAAUAAAGGUUCUUCUGAAACUAAACAUAUCGCAAAUAAUCAAACUUAAUGCGAUCCGCCAGCCGUCCCUCUUAUCUCAAACCUUCCGAAGUACCCAAGAGAGGGUACCCUGCGCCGUUGACCGACCCCCCGUAGUCAGAUGGAAACCGAAGUGAAAGACACUGUAGAUACUCUAGAAGACGACAACCAUCUGAAGCAUACUUCAUAGUUUCCCCAGAAAGACCUCUCUCACCUCGCACGUCAGGUUUGUAAGCAUAGAGAUUAGAACUCAUAAGGAAUGACCACCAUAACCAGGUAUAUGCGUAAAGAUGGUAUAUAAUUGAGAUCAAAAAGAUUUAAGGUGUGUGUUUCCUCCCUACUCCCUGUUCCUCAUUGGGUUGUGGGUUUGGGGUGGAGUCGCACAGCUGAACAUCCUGCCAACCUCAAUUGUAUAAUGCUUGCAUACACCAAGUACUGGUGGUUAAGCCAAGCAUGAGCUCUACCACGAACCUCUUUGCAAAACACUUUCACCCUAUUCCAUAACAUAGGAGCCGGAGUCAAGAGAAUCAAUGCGGGUUAAGCUAGUAAAGUUCCGAGUGAUGAGACCCUAUACUCACUAGAAUUGACCUAGGCCUAUGAAACUUAGAACCUUCGGAAGAGUAGUUGCAGUAGAUGCUCUUACUACUCAGGCACCUUGCCCACCCUGUUAUAGACAGGUAGUGCCUAUCACCCUCCACCCUCUUGUAUGGAGGAAAUCGUCGUCGCCCUGUAGACGAUAGACUUCAUUCUCCGAAGUGAACACUAGGAUACCGAGAACCACAGGAUAACCUCCGCAGCUAAGAAUACUUGAUCAAAGUGCGGAAUUAGUUGCGUUAAACCUCAUGAUCCAGAUCCCGAACAGGUUAUAGACUUGACACCAGUCCUGGUGUUAGUCGAAAGGUUAUGCAGGAACAUACGCUUUCCGCACUAGAAUAAACCAAAGUCUUAGAGAUUAAUUGGACUAUUAGGUGUUCCACGAAUACCAUCUCACGAGGAGAUAGUAGAACCACCUCCCGAGAUAGUCCAGCACUCGUAUAGUGAAACCCUAUCUCCCCGACCCUCAGGGUUUCCGUAUCUCAAGGAUCGUUAGUGUAGGUUCAUUUUGCACGAGCUUGAGAUAGACACUCUACAGCAGACAGAUAACCAUAGUCACGCAACCCAUUCGACGAUCUAGAAAGUCUCUAACAACCAGUUGUCAAGAAACGCGAAACAAAAGACCACCCGAGCUCCCUAAGAACCAACCUGAAGGACUACACACACAGUACGAGUGAGAACGUUAGGAACUUCUGAAUGGCGAUCACACCAGUGAUGAUCUUGCCAUAGAAGUACACUAUGUUUUGAGUACCGAAAAGCUCUACCAUUCCGAGAGCUUAGGACCAUAUGAGAAUUCUCACGGAGACUUGGUCCAACCCUUUUCAGGCCGCUACUACCUUCGGAUGCACCACAAGAUUCACACCCGGUCGAUCCACUUCUUAGACUUGAUAUGCGAUUACUCGACAUCACUCUUCGUGCCUCACUCAUCUUGAUAGAAUCCAUUAAGAACCCUAACCUUGUAGAUACACCAGUCGGAACCCACUAGCUACACGAGACGAAAUCCGCAUCCCGUACGUGAAGGUCUGUUGGAAUGACAAACACAGACUAGAGUUCACUGGGGAAUGCGAGGACAAACCAUAUAGGAAGUACUCUCUUACCUCUACUUGGACCUUCAUACCUACUUCCUUGCCUAGACCUGAAUUUCGGGACGAAAUUCCCUCUAACGGGGGAUGAUGUGACAACCCAAGUUGUUCCGUUACAUUUCCCCGUUACCGUUAACGGAAUAUUCCAGUUUAUAAAAGUUCUGUUAAUUAGAGGUCGUCAAUUUAAUAAACAUUCCAUUUAUUUACAAUUAAUAUGUCGUUAAGUCGUGAUAAAAGGAAAUAAAAACACAUGACACACAUUUCCAUUUAAUUGGAAAAAGUUAGUUUUUAUUAUUACGACCACUAAAUCGGGUGCGACCAAAAGCCCCGUAUAACGGCAGUAUCGGGUAGAUUCCCACUGAGCUCCAACUCCCACCCAUAUAUAAAGGGGAGUAAACCCCAUUUGGAGACUUUUUACACUCUCUCUCUAGACUCGUUUUCGCCCCGAAUCCGCAACCAAACGCUUCCAAAUCGUAAGUCCACUUACCCUAGCUUAUUCUAAACAUAUUGAUUCAUGUUUAUAGCUUAGAAAUCGUACAUAGAAGCUGUGAAAGAGGAGUUUAUGGCCUAAGCUCCUCCUUAGGCCGUAAACCCCUAAAUCUAGGCCAAAUUGACCCCAAAAUGUCCCUAAAUGCUUGGAAACUAAUAGAGGAAUUAGCCUAGGAGUUUUUACACAUUUAAAACAAUCAAAUUUGGGCAUAAAAGAGAGUUUACGGCCCAAGCACAUGCUUAGGCCGUAAACACCUCUAAAUCUUGUUAAAAUGCUCCAAAAACACUCCCAAACCACCCUUAGGCUUAAUACAAAAUUUAGGGACUUGAUAUUUCGGGUUUUGAUCAAUUAAACACAAUAAAAUGAAGGGACAAAAGGAGUUUAUGUCCCAAGCAUGUACCAGGGCCGUAAACACCCUUAAACAUUUUAAAACAUUAAGUUUUGUCCGCCAAAUGGCCUUAGACUAUUUCUAUAAAAUGCUAGGAAGGUAUUAGGGGCUUAAAACUUCACUUAACUCAAGGAAAAGGAGUUUACGGCCAUGAACUCCCUUGGGGAUGGUCAUAGGCCGUAAAAUCCCUAAAGAAGCCCUUAGGAGCCUUAAACCCACUCAUGCCUUUUUGGAAUUUGACUUAGAAAAAUCCCACUAACAAGAUUAAGCUUUGAAACACACUAGAACCCCUCACCAUGAGUUUACGGCCGUAAACUCAUGGUGAGUAGUCCCUGGGCCAUAGACUAAGCUUUGGGAGUUUACUCUCGGAGAGUAAACUCCAUUCCUAAGCCAUUUGAGCCCUUAGAUGCUACCCGGGACACCCCAAACACUUAUCCAAAGUGUUUUCCGCUCCUUUGAGCGUGUAUACUUGUUUAAUUAGUAUUAAAUAUACUAAUUGUAUGUGAACAUAUGUUAUCAUAUGUUAAAUAGGUCAUUGAGUGUGUUCGAGUCUUUACGUGACACCGAACGCCCAAACGACACCUUCGUCGGACCUAGUUACACCAGGUGAGUUCAUACCCUUGAAUGAACCUUUUAAAUGUUUUCACAUGUUUUAUAGGGGGGAAUACAAGUUAAACAUGCCAGUUAUCAUAUCAAUCACAUGUGAUUGAUAACCUGCAUGCACAAUGAUUUACCACACUGUAUACUGUUUUACCGAGUAGGACACUAUAAAUGGUUUUCUAAAAGGGUUUUCACUCGUUCAAGUUCUUACUUUUACUGCUUUAUCAAAGUUUCAUUUCAAACUAAUUUAUGAAAGGUUUCCAAAGAAUUUCUAAAAGUUUUAAAUCAAACAUAUUUCACAAAGGAAUACCAAGUCGUGAUUUUCUUAAAAUAUAAAGGUUUUCCAAAGUUUACGUCUAUGUUUUUAUACUUAUACUUGAUAACGUUUCCACUUCGUGAUACAUUUAUACCUGAUGGACGCUUUUACUUGUUCACACUCUUACUUAGUGAUACGUUCCUACUUCAGUUAUACUUGAAAUCGCUUCUACUUCACUUAUACUCGAUACGCUCCUACUUCACUCGAUGUCACAUCUACUUCGAGAUACGCCUAUACUUGUUAGACACUCCUACUUCACUUGUUGACCGCUCUUACUUCACUUGUUAGACACUUCUACUUCACUUGUUGAACGCUCUUACUUCACUUGUUAGACACUCAUGCUACACUUGUUGAUUUCUCUUACUUCACUCGUUAGACACUCCUACUUCACUAGAAUCACUCCUACUUGUUACACACUCAGUAGUAGAUAGAUGUAUGUCUGUGCUUGUAUAGGUACAUAUAAAUAAUGACUGAAAGACUUAGGAAGGCUCAUCCGCCCUAUUUCCUUUUCUUCGUUGAGAUGUGGUCUGGUGGGAUCGGAUGGCCGUCCGAAGGUCUUUUGGUUCAUUAGUUAUAUACUAUGUAUAUGAGUAUGGACAUACAGGAAUUCUCUAGUCAGUUCAGUUAAGAGCCUCUACCUCUAGUCUACACUUACAUUAGAAACACACUACCCACUAUUUGGAAGUCUCUACCUCUAGUUCAGCACUUACACACUACCCACUAUUUGGAAGUCUCUACCCACUAUUUGGGAUGCAUCUUCAGGACACGGCCUUCUCCGUCGUCUAGUUGGUAACCAGAAUCUCCUGUAGGGAGAGCGGACAUUGUGUGUAUAGAUCUAUACGGGAUUGACAACCCCGCACCCAGACCGCUAGCUACAGCCCGGGCCUACCAAGCCAACGGGUGACAAAUGUCAUAUUUUAGACGCUUGUAGGGCGUCUGGUACUCUAGUCAGUAUGGUUACGAGUAUCUCGGGUUACCUUUUAAUUCAUUGGCCUUAAGGUAACAGUAUUUCGCCAGAAAUUUACACUGUAUGCUGGUAUCUCAUUUUCAGAGUCACUGUUUUGACCUUACGAGACGUAUCUUUCAUUUGAUACUGUCUGGGGUCUGUAUUCUCUGUUUGACCUUACAAGACGUAUCUUUCAUUUGAUACGGUAUGGGGUCUGUAUUCACUAUUUUAGACCUUACCAGUUGUACCUUUCAUUUGGUGCCUUCUGGGGUCUGUGUCUCCACUUGUUAGACUGGACCAGGCAUGUCGUUUGUUCGAUACUUUCCUGGAGUCUAUGAUUCCCUUGCCUUAGUCAGCAGUCCUCACUGCUGAGGCAUAUGUAUUUCCCUGACGUCUCUUGCUUUCUUUAAUAAUCAAAUUCAGUAUUUUGAUAAUGAUAGCAAUUAAGGGAAAACUACUUUUUACCACAUAACACUGACCAGUCUUGGUAGAAGGCUGCUUUAUUAAAGAAAAUAUAGGAUUUUCUGGAAAGAAUUCUAAUACACAGUAACACUUAAACUACUACUUUAUAAAGUUAUUUGAAUAAAUGUCACUAAAUGCUUAUGAACUCACCAGCAUUUGUAAAAAUGCUGAUACUCGCUUUUCAAAUAACUUGUAUUCUCAGGUUAGCAUUAGACAGGUACACCCCAGGAGCUGUUGAUGAAGAUAGCUUAGUACCUUGCUGUACUUAUUACAUUUGUCUGUAUUACUUUGAUACUUUGUAAUGUAAACUAUGUAAAACUAUUACUAUUAAUGCAAUGUUUUGUUGUACUUUGAUUACUAUAAUGCAUGUGUUGUGAUACUUGACAUGACGUCAUCCACCCCAGAACGUUUCCACCGUUCCGGUUUUGGGGUGUGACAAUGUCUCCUUGUGAGUCAAAUUGGGAAUUCUCUCCAAUUGUAUCCAUGUGACUACUCGUGGCGACUCAUCUACCUUCUAACGCGAUGCUCCAAUCGUCAUAUGUGUCGGUAUCGGAACGCUUUUCCUAGUUGUAACACUAGUACGAAGACAAUGAAGAGGUAUUGAGGAAUAAUUGAUAUUGGUUUCGAAUUAGGAUUAUUACAAAUGGUUAUCUAGCUACUAACUAUACGUCUAAAGUCAAUAGCUACCGACGAAUACUCAAUCUUAAUACUAAGUGGAUUGCACCUAGAGUGGCUAGUGAUAUAACCUUACUAGUUAGCCUAGCACUUGAUAAGCGAUAAGAAUAUUUGUAAAUAAAGACAUUGUGAUAAAAGUGCACUUAGUUUAUAAGUGUACCUAGAUGGAUGCCUAUAAUAUGCAAUGCCCAUACGCACACCGAAAAAUUUUAUUUUUUCAAAAGUUUAAGUUGAAAAUCAUUUUGAACAUAAUUCUACUAUAACUGUUUCCAGCCUCGCAUUAGUUUUCCUUAGUUAAGCAUACUUGGCUAGACUAUACUUAAUUAAAGUCCAAUAAUGCAUACUCGAAUUGCUUAUACAAGUAGUAUGUUCAGUAUUGUAAAAAUGUUUUGAAAUUUUUUGGCUAUUAUUGUGGUUCUCCAAAGGAAAAUCGGUAUUCUCUAUAACCUUUGGCUAUGAUACCGUUUUUGUCACACUUCGCUAAAGUGGAAACACGAGGCGCAACAGUGCAACAUGUCUCAUAGUAAAAGUUAAAAGACAACACCCACCAUAGUAUUAAAAGCUUUACAAUUUAAAAUAAGUUUGAACAACUUUUAAAAGUAAUUACAACGUAUUAAAAUAAAACAACACACACAAAUGCUCCUACAAGUGUUCUGUCUCUAUGUACCUCUUACUAGAUGAUUCCUGAAAAAGCAUGUAAAACGAGUGUCAACUAUAAAAAUAGUUGCUGAGUUCACAGGUUUAAGAAAAUAUUGGUUUCAUGAAUCUUAAUCAAGGUUUUGACAGAAGUUACCAUAAAUAAAAGUACAUUGCUAAAAUAAGUAAACAAGUUUGCAUAAACAAAGUUCGUUGUCAUCAUGAAAAAUAAAGUACGUUGCCAAAAUGAGAUGCGAAGUUCAUUUUCUCAUGGGAAAUAAAUUUCAUUGCUAAAACGAAUAAACAAGUUUCGUUGCUAAAAUAAGUAUACAAGUUUCAUUGUUAAAAUGAGUAAACAAGUUUCUAUGUAUGUAAUAAUCUUUAUAUGCAUAUAACAAUCAACUGUGAGCUCACAACCAAACGUAUGACUGAUUCCCUAUCAAGAUUUAUGCUUAUCAUUCCAUAGAUGAACAUGCUAAAAGGCACUCAAGCAAUCGGGCAAGUGAGGAGUUGUCAAUUCCUAAUAGCGCUAUUCGUAAUGACCAUUGGCUCAAAGUGUUAAUGUUUAGAGUAAAGUGUAAGGGAAUUAAGACGAUAAAGCCUCAUGUUUCAAGUUGUGUACAAAUACAUAGAAAAAUAUCGCAAUCAAGUUUGAUACAAUUCAAUAUAGAUACAUCAAACGUAAAUAGUUAGGACAUGCUUUUCCAUCCCAAAACAUUUAAAAACCGAAAAUAGGGGAUGUGAAUAAGCAUAAUUCUUUGAGAUGAUGCAAAUGAUGCCUUGAACUAAAUUCAAAAUGACCUACCGAUGCCCUACAAUAAUGGUAUAUACUAGUGAGUCUCUAAUCAAAAUGUAACUCUAGCAUACUUAACUUCUACAAUAGAAUUAUGACAAUAUUGUGUCAAAGUUAGGUUUUGUAUAAGUUGCAAAUGAUUUUCUUCAAAUUUAGAUUUCCAUAUAUCAUUUGACUUGUUAACAUUUGCAAGUGACAAAUCCCAUUUUGUGUUAUUGUUUAGAAAUGUAUUUUAGCACUUUUGGAAAGGUUUUACAAGCUAAAAAUCAAGAAACUAAAUCAAAACAGUUCUAAAAAUUUCCAAACUUUAGAUUUCAGUUCUAACCAUAAUUUAGAAUCUCUUUGUAAAUUUUCAUGAUUUGUAAAUAUGUUUAACUAUUUUCCCACCAUUUAAUUCCUUGAAAACAUCAUAAAAUGGUGAAAAAUAUUAAACAGUUAAGAACAAUUCCCAAUCUUUUUGUAAAACAAUUGUACAAUGUAUAUGAGCUGGGAAAAAUAUCAAAAGUGGUUUUCAUACAGUGGAGUCUUGUCACACCCCCAAAGCAGGAUGGCGGAAAUGUCCAGGGGCGGGUGACUAUCAUGUAGUGUAUCAUAACAGUUGAGUAUAAAUGUUCAAAGCAAACACAACCAACAUAUAUAUAAUUGAAAAAGUUACAUCAUUUGUACGUAUUACAUGUUUCAAAAUAUCAAUUACAAUAUGUUGUCAAAAGAUUUGUUUAGACGCCUAAGCGUCCCAUCCUCAAAGCUAGUUGUUACCUGAUUUACUGAUUUCCUGAGAAUACAAGUUAUUUGAAAAGAGAGUAUCAACAUUUAGGUUGGUGAGUUCAUAAGCAUUUGUAUGUAUAUUUGUAAACCUUUUCUAUGAAAUCUAGUAAUGUUUGUUUUCCGGAAAAUCCUAUAUUUUCCCUAAAAUGAGAUGUGGCCUUAAAUGAACCAAGACCGAAGCGUAUAAGUAGUUUUCCUACUUAAAAUGAUGUUAUGCAGUUUUGUUUGUAUAUAAAACUGUUUGAAGACUGUCUUUGCGUAAACUAAAAGUUUCAUUGUUGUUUUACGUGAGUUUUAAUUUUUAUCUUAUAACCAUGCUUGAUUGACCCAGACUGCCUUGUUCGCAACGUUCUUCAGGUGUCGAUUUUGCUUAUGACAUUUGUCACCCCCAGACCUGCCGGUCUAGCUGUUGCAAGCAGCUAAGGUGCGGGAUUGUCGGUCCCAGUAUAGAUCUAUACACAACUAUCACGCUCUCCCUACAAGAGACUCUGGUUAUAUUUAACAGGACUUUCGUGUGUACUUUAUAAGGUACCGUGAAGACAAAACUCACUAAAUUUGUUCAACGAGUUUACGUGUUUUUGUGUUGAAAAUGUUUGUAUAAAUGAUCAUCCCCUAAGACUGGGAUAGCUAUGAAAAACGACGUGAAAUCUUUAGAUAUGCAUUUGACAAUAUUUUACCCUUUGCUCAACAGGAUACAAAUGGAGUAGAGUUUCGUAAACUAUAUAUGUAUAUUUUUGAUGUAGAAGACAAGUUUGUAAACAAAACAUAUAUAUGUAAAUGGUUAUAUAUAUGUAUAAAUUUUAAAAGAUGAUUUGGUAUGUUUCGUAAUUGUUGUUCAUAUUCUUACGUUUUUAUUAGAAACUUUGCAUGAAAUAAUCCUUAAGUUUGAUACUAAAGACCUUUUUGUACUUAUCACUUUUGUAAAAAUUGUAAUUAAACAUAUUUAAAUGAUUGUGUUUUAACUUCCUUAAUGUAUAAACAUUGCUCAAAAAUGUUAGAAGGUGUUAAUAAAUCUAUAAACCACUUUUGACAGUUUUACCCUUUACUGUCCCUGUUUUUAGAAAACUCAUAGAAAAAUCAUCGUAAGUCAAAAACUGAAUCCGUCACCUCUGAGAGUUUAUAAAAUGAGUCUACUUUGUUCCUAAUUUUUAUUAUGAUUUUUAGUGGUCUCAAACUAGUGUGAAAAUGAACAUCUUCACAGACUGGUCCGAAAUCACUUCUGAAAUGACAGGCAGUUUUAUAAAAAUCGCCAUAAAUUGUAGAAAAAUCGUAUGAAUGCGUGCGAGUAGUCCUUAGAAAGGUAUAAACUUGAACUAUUUUCAUAUUGUACAGUUUUGAAAGAUAUUAAGUUUAAGAUGGUCAAAACAGUCCGUGAACAGGACUCAACUUUUCUGUAGAAAGCUGUCAUUUAAAUUUAAGUUAUGUUUAGUGUUCUAACUUGUAUUCCCCCCCUUAAAACUUGAAUAAAACAUGAAAAUGUAGGGGUAUGAACUCACCUUAUGUGAAUACUUGAAGAAUGGAAGGUUGAAGAUGAACUUUUGGUUGUUGGUUUGAUGCUCCAAAACAGCCACUCUUUUGGCUAUGUUGCUGUCACGAAAAUUUCACAGCAAAAGAGCAAGAAAAAGGGUAGUUUACUCACUGUUUUGAAUCAAUAAUUUUGAGUAUCAUAACAAGUAACUUCCAGGGGUAUUUGGUGGUAAAAAUAUCAAGCAAAAGAAAGAUGUAGAUGGGUGAAAUGGUGGCUGAAACACAAAAGGGACAACAACCCUUUAGUUCAUGGUUUUGAUGGCUUUGGAAGGAAGUUCUUAUGGCUGAAAAUGAGAUUAAGGUUGAGAGUAAUUCCCUGGAGUAUUGGCUGGUGAAUUUAGGGUAAAAUGAUGAGAAGAUUUCGUGAUUAUGAAGGAGGAAAGGGUGGAAGAGGAUAAGGGGACAAAACCUAGACUAGCUUGUGAUGGGAUGUGAGUUUAAGUGAUGUGAUCUUGUCUAGCCACUUGCUUGGGUGGUUGCUUAGAGAUAGAGUUAGUUAACUAACUAACUACUAGUUAUUUAGUUAGUUAGGAGUUCUAGUUAAGGAGAGGGAAGGUCUUAAUCUCGAAAAUUAGAAGAGGGAUUAAUAAGCAUUCUUAGUAAAAUGUCUUAAGUGAUUAAGCACUUAUUAGUUAAGUUGGCACUUAUCUCCACCAAUUCUCUUAUCUUAAUUGAUUUAGACAUCAUAAAACUUACAUGAAAUCAUUUUAAUUCAUGACUUAUAACUAGUCAUUCACUAGAUAAUAAUACAUAUAUACAAAUACAUACAUGUAUACUUAGUNAUUCACUAGAUAAUAAUACAUAUGUACAAAUACAUACAUGUAUACUUAGUAUAAAAUAACAAUGUAGUUUAUGUGUAUUUGAACUUUAAUGUUUAUGUUUUAUUCUUUUUAUUCAAAAACACUUAAAUACAUUCUAAUUAUACCUUAUAAUAAUUCAUUUUAUAUUUUUAUUUAUUUAAAUAUAAAAUUUAUUGACCAAUGUAUAAUUUCGUGACAUUUAACCGGUUAAUCAUAUCGUUAAAUACGUUUUGUCACUUUGGUUCGUAUAUUUGUCAAAUUUAGAUCCUCCACAUCUAUUAAAUAAACGUUUUACAUAGAACCUAACUUACUUAUCAACUAGAGACAUGUUGAUACAAAAAUUAAGUUUGUUGCGUUUAAAUGAUGUUAUAUGCUAAUUUCACAAACCGGUGAUGGUUCGUAGUCAUACAUCAUAACGAGAUUUAUCAAUAGUUACUUGUUUUAUAUUUCACAAUAACUUAUUUAAAUAAAAGAGGUUAAAUUCCUUCAACCAUUCUUGAUAAAAUACUCAUAUUGCUUAAUAAUCAAAAUAGCAUCGUGCGAUCGUUCCUAUUUUUACCAAUUGUUACAAGUCUAGUUUUGGAUUUAUAGGUGUUUCAUUUUAGGAAAAUAGAAAUAAAUAGUAAACAGUUAAAUUAAAUAUCCAAACUCUUUAUUUUAGAUUAGAAUAUCAUAAAGUGAUUUUUGGUAUGUUUAUAUGAUUUUUGGAAUGGUUUAUCUAGUUUUCCUUAUUUAUCCUAUUAAACAAGGAUUUAAAUUGUGAAAAAUAGUAAACAAUAACGAAAAGCCACUACACUUUUUAUUUGAUCUUCUACUAUAAUAGACGACGUACCGGUACAGUUUCAUGAAUUUUGGAUGCGUAUAACUAUUUUUACCAAUUUUAGCCCAUUAAAUACACAAAAAUCAUGGAACAUAGGAAUAGAAUAUGAAAAAUUCCCAAAAUAUUGUUCAGUGUAUUACACAUAGUUUAGAAGUAGUGAAAAACUAUAUAUGUUCAUUUCACAAUCCCGAAUGUGGUUUUAUGAUUUAUUUGAGUUACAAAAAGAGAAAAUCAAAAAUCAUAUCAAAUUGUAAUAAAAGUUGGUGAAACUUAAUGAGAGUCUUUUACUUACUACAUGAAUCAUCCACAAAUUUAUCUAGGGUUUAUAAACCUCAAAAAGUAUUUUAUAUUAUUUAUGGCCUUAUUUCCUUGCACGAUUUAUAAUAAGUCAACAAAAAUGAACUAAUACAUGAAACUUUCCAGAUCAUAUUAUUAUACAACGGACAUUAUGGGAAAAAUCGGUUUUAGAUAGAAAAUGAGUUUUACAUAUUUAUUUGUGACUAAAUCAUUUUUGAAUAUUUUGAAAGCUUUUAACAACAAACUUUUAAGUUUAAAUAUCAUCACAUGCAUGUUGGUUUAAGGACCAUGCAUGGACUUGAUUUGUUGAAAAAUGAAGUUUUUAAGAAGAAAACUCGGAUACAUGUGGUUGAUGAACUUUAAAACUUGUAAAAACUCAUUUUCUUGGAUUUGACAUAGGCUUAGGUCAUUGUUUUUCACCAUCUAGCAACAUGCAAGAUGUUUUUGGUGAAAACCUACCACCAUUAUCAUCAAAUCUAAAGUGCAUGAAUAUGCACAUGGAUUUUCAAAAAGAAAGGUGUAUAAGAAGAAGAAAAUGCAAGAAAACUAGAGAUUUUUGAACGAAAAGUGUAGAAGAUGUAAGUGAUUUGAUUUUACCUUGAUGAAUGACUCUACAUGAUGAACGUUUUUGAGUAAAAUGAUGGAUAUUUAGCUGGAAAAUCAUAGGCUUUAGUGCUGAUUUAUAAAGGUAAAGAAUGAGGGUUUUGGAGAGAAAAGAGAGAUUAUAUCUCUCUGGAUACCCGAUAUCUCUCGUCAUCCCUUUAGGGUUUCCUUUCAAUCAAAUCGGUCACCAAAAUAUAGAAAUGUAUACAAACUCAUGAAGAGUUGAUGGGCUAAAUCUCCCCUAUAGAUUUUGCUUCUAUGUUUGUUAGUUUUAGAGAGAAGAAAGAGAGAAGUUUUUAGAGAGAGAAAGACAAAGAUGGAGUUUGGAAAAUGAGGGAUGUGAUUAUGAUUUUGGGAAGAGUUGUAUGGGGAGAGUGGACGAAAUUAUUAGGUGUAAUAUCCUAUAUUUUCUCUUUUAUCUUUAUAAAGUUUAAAUCUUUUAUAAAAAUAUCAAUUUUUAUUAUAAAAUAUGCAACUUACCUUAGGUUUUAUUAAUAAAACUCUUGAAUUUUAGACUAACAAUUAGGGGUAUAUGCUGAAUUAUUUUAACUUAUAUCCUCAUUGGUUAUAUUUCCAAAAUUUAGUUAUUCUAUGAUGUUGUUAUAAGUUUCAUAACCAUUUCUAUAAAUUUUGAUAUUAGAUUCAUAAGCAUUAAGAUUUUUUUAGGGCUUUUAGGGUUUUAAGGAGUUUGUAUGUCUGUGGAUACCAGAAUUAAUUGAAUUUUUUAGACUUCAAAUUAUGUUAGAGUUUCAUAACUUUUUUAGUUUAAAAUAAUGUUUGUAAUUUGCUUUUGUCUAUAUUGGCAUUUCUUUGUAGUGAUUCCAAGAUUGAAGGGAAACGAAAGAAUCAAGUAUACUAGUCCUAGUUUUCAACUUUGACUUAAGUUCCUACGAGACUCUGACCUAAUUUCUACUAGUAGGUCAAUGCAUGAUGUGUCUAGAUGAAUAUGCAAAGAUUCUCGAGUCAAGUAAUGACCUGAAUUGAGAUAGUUAUUAAAAUUAAUGGUGUUAUAGAAAUCAUAUAUCAACAUGAAAUCUAUGUACACUAUCUCUCAUUUAUAAUUGUUUCUAAGUUUCUAUUAUCUUAGCCUCUAACUUCCAAGACUAGCAUGUGUCAUGCAUAUACGUGCAACUAAGUUUAUUUAAAUAUAGAACUGUCUCGAACUUUAACGUUUGUUACACGCAGCGUACGCACCCAUUAAGCACGUAGUGCUAACAACCAGACGUCCAAACUUCAUAUCGAAGCCUUAGGAACGUUGUAAUCCAUAAAUUUAAUUACUUGGAGCCUUUACAUAGCUCACAUAAACUCAAACCUAGAUUUAGCAUCCUACUUUCAUCAAAUGGAUACAAACAUACACAUGGUUUGUCCUUAACCAUCAAGAUACUAACUUUAUGGACUAUGGACCUGAAAAACAUCAAGAUAAGCAACUCCUAACUUUUGGAGUGGAAUAAUCCCACUAGAUCUCAUUCAUGGGACCAAAAAGUGCACAAAACUCCAUAGAACUUCAUCUAAGCAUACAGUGAGCAAGUUCCAAGAUUUAUAUCUCAAUGAAGCUAGAAAUGAUGAGUGAAAUCUGGAUCUGCAAGCUCUCUCUUGAUCAAAUUAAGCUCCUUCUACAAGAUUUUUCUACCUCAAGGUUCACCAACUCACACUAAAACAUACAUAAAUAGGUCAAAUCUUCUCUAGAUGGGUUAGGGUUUCAAAAAGAGGCUCAAACGGUAAUGGAGGCUGAGAAAUGAAGGGAUCAUGGGUCAUAAUGAUGUUUAAAUAUGGUCCAACCCCUAAAAAUUAAGGUUUGUCCCUAGAUAACGGACGCCUAGUGUACAUACAUCCCCUUUAAAGUUUCACCUUCCACCCCUUGAGACCAAAUUUGCAAAUUAUUUACACACUAAGGGCCAAUAUUAAAAGUACCUUGAAUCGGAUGUUACAAUUCUCUCCCACUUGAAUUAGAUUUCGUCCUCGAAGUCCACUACCGUAAAUAACUCUGGGUAAUGCUCCCUCAUCUCAUCCUCAGGCUCCCACAUCCAUUCUGACCCCUUUCGAUGUUGCCACUACACCCUUACUAGAUCCCCCACCUUGUUUUGAAGAGUUUUUGUCAUUUUGUCAAGGAUCACCAUUGGUCUCUCUAUAUAAUUCAGGAAAUCAUCCACCUGAAUGUCCUCCAAUUGAACCGUUAUGGAAUCAUCAACAAAACACUUCUGCAUCUGAGAGACAUGAAAAGUGAUAUAAAUCUGAUUGAUCUCCUCCGACAGAUCCAAAUGAUAUGCCACCCCUCCCACCUAGGAAAAAACAUGAAAGGACCAAUAUACCUAGGACCCAGCUUACCCAGCUUCCUGAAUCAGAUGAAACAUUUCAAGGUGACGCCUUUAGGAGUACCAUAUCUCCAACCUAAAACUCCAGGUCUGACUAGCGUCUAUGUGUAUAGCUCUUUUUUCGACUCUAUGUUCUCUAAAGUCUAUCGCAAACCUGAUGAAUCAACUUCGUUGUCUUGAGUACCACCUCGAUACUCCCCAUGACCUGCUCUCUGACCUCACCCCAAUAUAUAUGGAUCCUACACUUCCUCCCAUAGAGCAUCUCAAAAGGAGGCUGAUCAAUGAUGAUAUGAUAACUGUUAUACAAAAAUUUUGCCAAAGUAAGAUACGUAUCCCGACUACCGUCGAAAUCCAGUACAAAAGCCCGCAUCAUGUCCUCCAAUGUUUGGAUAGUCUGCUCACUCUGACAAUCAGUCUGCGGGUGGAAAGUCGUGUUGAAGUAUAGACGAGUGCCCAACUCAUCGUGGAAUCUCUUCUAGAACUUGGAAGUAAGCCGAACAUCCAUAUCAGAGACCACAGAAACCGGAACUCCAUGUCGUGCCACCACCUCCCGAAUGUACAUACCGACCAACUUCUCUGCCGAAAUACUCUCCUGGAUCAGAAUAGAAUCCGCGCUCUUGGCCAAUUGAUCCACGAUGACCCAUAUCGAAUCCACUUUGUGCACUGUCUGAGAAAACCUUGUGAUAAAAUCCAUCUUAAUCUCUUCCCAUUUCCAAACGGGAACUUCCAACGGCUCCAUUUUGUGGUGGGGUCGCUGAUGUUUAGCCUUGACUUUCUUGCAAGUCAAGCAUCUCUACACAUAACAGGCCACAUUUCAUUUCAUGCAUGGCCACCAAUAGUCAGGCCGAAGAUCCCUAUACAUCACUGUUGCUCCGGGAUGAAUAGAGAAUCUCGAUUUAUGUGCCUCCUCCAUCGAUACCUCAUGCAGACCACCCAAUAUGGAACCUACACUCUCCAAUGAAGGGUCAAUAAUACCCGAAUAUCAUAAUCAAAGGAAGCCACUUGACCCACUAUGUGCUCACUCUUCUAACGUUCUUCCUGUUGGGUUUUGAGCAUUCUAACACUUCCUAAGUGUACAUGCAACCCUAAAUACCUUGGAUCUAUGUUUUCUCUAUUAUACAUGCAAAUAAGAACUUCCAAGGUAUUAUCCUAAUCUAGCAUAUAAAACAAUGGAUAUAGUAGGAUAGAAUACAUACCUUUUUGGUGUAGUAAGUCUUCAUGAAGCUUGAGUGCUUAGUGCCCCAAGUGUGACACCUCAAAUGGAAUCACAAUCAUCAAAACACUUGGAAUGACUUGAGAGAAUUCUACACUCAUCAAAAUCGGCUAGCCCUUUCUUCACUAUCUCUAGUGGCCGAUUUUUCCUCAAUAAUAAGAUUCUUAUAUAGUUACACAAUUAGGGUAAACUCUUAAUUGUCAUGGCUUUCCAUUUCCUUGGAUCCAUGGGUACAAAUACACCAUGGAGCAUCCAUGGACCAUCCUAUGGGUUUUAGCCCAACUUGAUUAUCCAUGGAGCAUUAGCCCACUAUACAAGUAUGGAUGAUUUACACAAUCAACCCAUAUAUUUAAUUAGUCUUCUUUUGAUCACUUAAUUAAUCCUAGAUUAAUUCUUGAUCAAUACUAAUUAAAUAAUCUUAUUAUUCUUAUUAUUAAUAUACUAGAACUUAUAAUAUAUUAAUAACCAUAAGUGUCUUAUUUCUCUCAUUCAAGUGCAUGAUGGUAUGCAACCCAAAUGGACCAUGCCGGGUCGGGUCAAGUCUUACCAAAUAUAGUUAUGGACUUAGACAUUAAUCCAACAGUCUCCCACUUGGAUAAGUCUAAAACUAUUAUUGCGUAUGACUUCAGGAACCAACCGGCAAUCGUAGCUCUCAAAAGCUUCUGUCGAACUCUGACCUUGUAGAUGAACUCUGACCUUUGUCAGUGACUUGUCCAUUAGAUAAGGGAUCAUAUAUUCCUCCAUUCUAGAUAUCAUAUGGACUGAGACAUGGAUUAUAAUCAUUCUCUCUGUCCAUUUGUUGUUUCCCGAUUUCCGAUUUAUGACGACUGACUAAUUGAACAAAUCAAAUCAGUCCUGGCCCGGCCGAGCACUUCCAUUUGUCAUCAUCAAAUCAUCGAGGGGCCCACAGAUAUCGCUUUUAUCCCGAAGGUAAAAGGAACGGAUAAACUUCGACUCAUAUGGCUUGUUCUACUACUUGUUGAAUCAUACACAAAGGCACGUUUUAUAGCACCGAGUUACCAAAUGCGUUUUCGUGCUAUCAAUGUACUAUCAACUCAUAGUAACAACUCAUAUCUCUAGGUUUGAAGAAUAUAAGAUAUUAUCGUCUCAUGAUCACUCGUGAUAAAAUCCAUGAAGUGAUUCCAAUGAGCGCGGGUUGAAUCCAAUACUCAGAACUUAUGAGCACUCAUGAUUGUUGUAGCCUUGUCCAACACCUUAGACCUCUACAACCCAUCAUGACAGUCUUAAUUCAUAUCUACUUCCAACAUAUGACCGACUGUGGAUGGUUUGAAUAACUUAGUCAUUCCGGAAGAAUAACCCAGUUUAUUCGGGAAGUCAAAACAUGCAAAGUGAAACACAAUAAUAAUUGAAUCCAAUAUGGUAUCAACCCUUUGAACAUAAAUAAAACACCUUUUAUUUAUCACCAUAUGAUUACACAUUAUUCAUUGUAUACUGUUUCAGCUAUCAACUUUAUUCUUGAAUUUAAAACAAUAGUUGUCCCAUGCUCCAAGCAUGUACACUAUGUUUUCUUAAACACUAGUCAUGCCACACACCAAGUAUGCAUACUAUGUUUGUCUAUGAUCUUUACUUUGUGAACUAGAUCAAUUGAACAUAACUUCAAUGAUUCUCUUUUCACACUCCCAAAUCCUUACUGCAAAUGCAAGAAUUCCAAAUUCAUGCCAUUUACUGAAAUCUGUUAGAUUCUAAACUUAUAUGCAUUGAUCCUCUUGUAAUGAUUAUGCACAAAGUCAGAAAGACUUGACAACAAUCAUUACAGAGUAUUCCAAAGGAGAUCAGCUCCUUGGAAACAUCCUUCUUGCAUUAAGUUUCCUAAUCUUAAACAGAUUGAAAAUUCUAACUUUGAAACAUUUCCAGAUUCCAUUUUGACUAUCACUUCUGAACAAGAGUUGCCUCCUUACAGAUUAUGUCAAUAUGGUCCUUCCAGAAUUAUCACUAUACUUCCAACUGUCCUUGAGCAACCAAUCUUUGGUAAACCUUAGAUUGUCCUCGACAAUUGUUUAAUCCUUUUAGUCAUAUCCAGUUCUAAACCUUUUCCCUUCUUAAUGCCCCAGGCAUUUGGAAAAUUUUAGAACGGAUGAAUAUAGCACAUGUAAUCGAUCCUAUAUCCGAAGCAUAUGGGACACGAUUCAUGAUGUCUUACAUAAAGACUAAACCAGUCUUUUGCUAUAAUAUUUCCAUUUCAAUUUGCCAAGUUCUCAUAAUUCAGAUUAUGAAAAGGGAUGCCGUAAUCAUAAUCGAAUUUUAGAACGCAAAUAAUGGACCCAUAUACAGAAUUUCCUUAUGUUGAGCCAUUCCAACAUGAAAUUCAUAUAUAUCCUUGACUAAAUGAUUAAAACCUCACGAUCUAAGCUUAUAGAUUUGAGAUGAAGUAUAAUUUCCUCUCCCUUAAUUAUAGCAAAACAACUUUUUCCCAAUUGAAACUUUUGUUUUCUAUAAUUAACAUUGCUAACUUGCAAUACUUAUCAUAAUUAUCAUGCUCCCACUAACAUGAUGAUUAUUAGCAUAACACUUAUGCUCCCACUAGCUUUGACAUGUACUCAGAAAUCAGCUGGACUUCUAGAAAUCAAUACUUCAUUGACUUUCUUACCAAAGUUCAGAUUUCUGAUGCUAGAUUGUUUUGAUAAAGCUUUAUCAAAAUCAUACACCUUCCCUUAGAUAGCACACUUGUGUAUCUAAACAAUUAUGAAGAGGGAUGCCGUAAUCAUAAUGUUUAGACCUUUUUGCCACUUCUCACAAGUCCAAAUUAGUGUGCCGGUUAACCACACGCGCUCCACUAACGACUUUGAGAAUGCAAAUAUCACAAUUGCUAUCUAGCUAAAAUCUACUUAGUGAAAGUGUUUCCUCACCAUCAUUUUCAUGAAUCGGAGAGAAACCUUAUGACACUUAGAUUUAAUGGUGUAUGUGUUCUUAUCCAUGUGAAUU
This 53396-nucleotide long non-coding RNA is filed under the name Lactuca sativa (garden lettuce). RNAcentral describes it as "long non-coding RNA (LSAT_LNC009246)". The record is from RNAcentral. Lineage: Eukaryota; Viridiplantae; Streptophyta; Magnoliopsida; Asterales; Asteraceae.